GGGAGCUCAUCACCCGUAAGUGUCUGCCGCGUGCGCGAGAGGGGCCGAAGAAUGGGGCUCUGGGCGCCCGGAGCGGGGGACACCGAGCCCGGCGCAGCCAGGCCCGGCCGGGCGCCGGGGCCGCUCGCUGGCUGGCAGAGCCAGUGGUAUCCUCCCGCAGCAUGGUGGGGGGCGGGGGGCCAAAGGAAAGUUUCUUUGCAGCCGGGGAAGCCGGGGCGCUGCGCAGCCACACGCGCCUCGGGGUCAGGGGCCUGCGGAGCCGGCUCCGGGCCGGGGAGAGGGCGCGCAGGCUGGAGGAGGUGUGUGUGUGCUCGCCGAGCCCGGCUGGACGCUAGCCCCUCCGAGCGGCGUGUGUGGCGGCGGCGGCGCUGGUGGCGGGGGUUGGGGGGGGGGGGGGGGGGGGGUGGGGGGGGGGGGGGGGGGGGGGGGGGGGGGGGGGGGGGGGGGGGGGGAGCCGGGAAGUGGGGAAAAGUUGGCGAGCGCGUGGGUCCGCGCUGACGGCGCGGGCGGAGGAGACUGGGGUGCGCUCCGGCCUGGGGGAACCGCUGAGCGAGGGGUGGCCGCCGGCUCCCGGUUCUCGGUCGCUGAGCCCAGGCCGGCAGGGCGCCGGCCACGCCGGUCCUAGGAUUCCGUAGUCGCCUUUCCCUCCCCUCCGCUGGCUAUUUGCAAAAGAAUCCAGCUGCGCGGCUGUUUGCCUGGCACAAGCGGCCCCCUCCCCAUUUCCCCACCUCCGUCUCCUGGGACGGUCUUGCCCGAUUUCCCCCACUCCAAAAGGGGGAAAAAAAAAUGGUGGUGGGGGUGGGAAUCGGGGUUGGUGAAAAAUCCCCGCCACGGUGAAAAAAAAAAGGUUGUCAGGAGUGGGAAGAGAGGGAUGCGCCUGUAAAAUAGUAAAAUUAAAAAAAAAUUAAAAAGGAAGAAGAAAAAAAAAGAGGCCUAUCAAUCUCUUAUCCAUCUAUCUCAGUAUCUUUCAUCUUCCCUAUCUACAUAAACAAGGCAGGUCGCAGCGGAAAUCCACCGAAUGAAAUCGUGUGGAUUUCAAGCAAGUGGCGGGGCGUGCAGAGUCAGGCAGCGGGUCAGACACGCAGCAGUUUCCAACGCUCCAGCUGGGUUUAUUUAGAAAAGAAAAAUCGCGAGCGCGAGCGGCCCAGGUACGAUGUUCCCGCUCUGUUGCACAGGGAAGGUCCGCCCGCAUCGCUCCCAGCCCGCCGCAGCCCGCCGGGGACUCUUCCUCACGGCGCGCGAACAUUUCCCCGCCGUUCCUUUCUGUCGCGGUGCCUGGGUCGCCGUUGCUUUUUUAUUUAUUUUUUUUAUUGCAAUGGAAAUAAAACAUCCUCUGGGUGUCAUCGAGACCGGAGACGAGUUGUAUUCCUGCAGUCCUCCGCUCACCUCGCCAGGCUGGGGCCGUGCUCCGGCUCAGAGCUGGAGAGGGCUGCGCGCUCAGCCGCCGCCGAGGACUGGCUGCCGGGCGGCCGAGAGCCGAAUAUUUAUGUUAUAUUUUAAAAAAUUUAAAUAAAUAAAUAAAUAUAUAAAGGGGUUCUCCCCUCCCCUGAAAACCCAGCAUAGGAGCCAUCUGCUCGGAGCAAUUGCUGUUGCCAUCUCUCCUUUGUUACAGCAGAUACAUUAGUAAGAAUUUGUGGAUUUAUUAUUAUUAUUGGGGGGGGGAGGAAUAGAUAUUAAUGUGAGCUUCUUGGGAGAGGAAUGCCUUUUUGGAGGGAGGGAAGAGGACUUCUCUUUUUUUUCCCCCGCUAUUGUAACAUCAAAGAAGAGUCGCUGGUUGCAUUUAAAACAAAAUGUUUUGCAACCAGAUUUGAGCGUGGUUUGAUCAAGGUCCUUUUCGCCAGUUGACAUUUCGUUCCUUCACCAAGCCGCAGCAGCAAUUGCUUAUGCUUAUUCUACAACUCCCCCCCGCUUUAGAUGGGGUGGUUGUUAAAACGUCUAUACUUGCAGACGCCUAAUUUCUCCAGGAGGCAAUUUGCCCCACGGAGCCUCUGUAUAAUUGCAAGGGUUGUUUUUGAGGAGGGGGAGUAGGGGGGGUGGGGAAGGGGGAGAUGUUGGGGGUGCAUUGCCGAGCUGGCAGCCGAGACAGGAACCAGGAGCCUUUGCAGUUGUGUGUGAGGGGAAAGAGGCAGGUAGGUUUGCCUGCUUUUGCUCUCCACUCUCCUGGCAUUCCUGGGACGUCAGGAGAAAACCCUGGGCAGGAGGACUGGUGGCAGCUGGGCAUGGGGGCGAGGGGUGCCUGGUGCAACAUCCUUCCAUCUGGGGAAAGCCGCUGAUGAUACUGGAGCAGGGGCAGCGAGGGAAAGAGAAGCAAAGAAGGGUGGUGGGUAGAAAGAGGGGACGGAGAUGAGGGCGUGAAGCAGUCUGCCUGCCUUCCAGGGGCACAGGGAGUCCUGGUUUGUGCAGGGAGAGUGGUCCAACCAGUUCUCAGACAAGGCUACUUAUUAUCCAAAAGCAGCUGGCUUUUCUGCCUGUCCUGUGUCACCCGGGAGGUGGGAGCUAGCAGGGGAAGGCAAGAAUCAGAGGCAGUUGAGGCUGCCUGGCCUGGGGAUUUGCCUUUCUCCAGACUGUAGAGGAGCCUUAGGGUGCUCUGGAGCUCAGGCUAGCAAAGCAGGUGCCCUUGCAAAUCCCACCUGGUGUUACCAUUUGAGAUUUUUAAAUAUGAAAGAAACCACCUAAAACGUAGCAUGGUCAGUAGCCUGAUCAGUUGGGCGGCAGCCUGCGGGCCUGUGGGGCAGCAGCCUUAGGUUCUUUAGGGAUGAUGCAACUUGGGCUAACUGAUGGCCUGGGAAACCAGAAGAGCACACAAAUAGCAUCCGUGUUCUUGGUCAGGGGUAAGGAGAGGGGCUCCAUAAUGAGUUAGUUCAAUUUACAGACAGGACUGGUGGGGAGAAGAGCAAGGUAGGAGAGAGUGAGGGAGACAGCUGGAAAUGAAAACCUGGGCUUCUGGUUUGUUUCAAAUGUUUGACCUAGAUGAAUAUAGCUUUUAAAACUGGAGGACAGUCACAGCCAUUAAUAAAAACAAACACAAAACAACACAGUAACAAUAGUGAAAGAGGACGAAAGGGGGGAGCGGCUGACCAGGCAGCGAGAAGGACCCAGAGCCGGCCGUGCUAGACAGGGCCAGGGUGAAGGGAAAUGUACUCAAAUCCUUGGAGGUGCUGGAGGCUGUCUGAAGAAACUGAAUAAACCAAGAUGUCCAUGAUAAAUUAUGUGACCUCAAUUAAGGUGAAUUUUCAGCAACCCACCAACAGGUUUCCUCGGAAGAUCAAUAAUUUUCGGUAUGAAUUCAUGAUUUUGCAAAACAGAGACCCAGGAUUUGACAGGGAAGUUAGGCUAACUGUUUUAAUUCCACGGUCGCCUUUUAAAUUAGCUUUUGCUGUAACUGUAUGUUUUGAAGGUGGCUGUGCUUACAAUUACCCUAACUCCCUAGAGGAUGGUAUAUCUACAAUGGUCCACUUAUCUUUCAAAACUGGGCCUCUGAUAAAUUUCAUAAGACAUGGGCCCUCCUUUUCUUCUGUUAUUAUUAUUUUUUUCUUUUUUGGUAGUUGGGUGGGGACAGUGAAGUUUGUCUCCCUUCUGCACAGAAGGGAACCCCAUAUCAUUAGAAGUGUGAUAUGUCAGCUGCUUCGAUUCCACGGGAGAAUAAGAACGUGCUCAUGCAAGGUGUUAUGCCAGGCUGGUUUUAUUCAUUUGUAAUUCACACCUGAGAGAAAACAGUCGUGAGCAUAUUUUAACAACUCCUAAUAUUUUUAAAGGGUAUUUUUUUUCCUACCUGAAGAUUUUGUACUUAGGCAUAUUUCUUUCUUUUUUUUGGGGGGGGGUGGGGAGUGUUGUUAUCUGCCUCAGCCUUGAUGUUGGUGGUUUUGCUUGGCCUUCAGAAUAUUUUAUACCCAAAAAGAAACCAUUUCUCCAGUUCUAGGGCAAACACGGUUGUGUCUAGAAGCGGGCCUUAGAAGCAUCCAAGGGGGCUGGGAUCAGAGGGUUGGGUGAGAUGCACUGGUGACCACUGUGUAGACCCAGGGGGUUUUCCUUGAUCGAACAGGGGGCCAAUUUUGGGUGCAUUUGACAGUAAUUAGAAUGAUGUCUCAGGGGAAAUGAAGCAUGUAAACAGUCCGAUUGCGGAUCCCGGUUUCCGACUGAGGAGUGAGCAUACCAGUUUCCAGGGCCUUAUCAGCAGGGCACUCCUGGCUCUGUCUUACAGGCCACACAGCUUGUACCGUGCCUUCCCUUCGCCCUGUGCAUCUCCUAUCCCGAUUGCUUUGCAUUCUCUGUUGUUUGUUGUGAUAAAAUACUUUCCAAAAUAAACUUUCAGUGGAAUUGGCUUUUGGUUCAUGGCAAGCCUGAAAUACUGAGCUUCGCCUAGCGCCGCUCGGCAGCUAGGGGGAGCUCGGUGCCCGUGUCAUGGCUGGUGGCGCCCCUGCUACAAUGGCUAGGAAUGGGCUUCCAUCAGCAGCCGGCAGUUUACGUUGCUGCAAAAUGUCUUAAGUGUGAAGUUGUAAUAUUGAUUUUCCUGUAGAGAUUCGUGCAGGACAAAAUGAGAAUAUAAGUUUGAGAAAUCUAUUUUCAAGCCAUCGCCAUUGAUUUACAAGCCUUUCCUUGGCAGAUGGAGGUAUUUUCUUUUUCUUUAAUUUUCUUUUUCUUCUUUUCUUUCUUUCUUGCAUUUUUUUAACAAUUAAAAUUAUUAGUUUUGGAUGAGUGUGUUUUCCUGAUUUAUCUGUGGUCUUGACAUUCUGAAAAUGACACUCUGUUGUUAAGGCAUUUGUGAUCCAGCUGGGGGGGUCGGGAAGAGGGUUCAUCAUUUUGAGUAAGGCGCACCGUCUCUUUCUGGGUUGCAUGUUACAGAUCUGGGGACACAGAGAAUCGCUGCAUUGGGGAGUUUUGUACCUAAAACAGUUUGAUGAAUGGAAAUCCUUUUAGCUCAGAGUUUAUAACACUUGGGUUCUCAAUUCCACUUAUUAGGUAAUGCUCCCCCUGUACUGGAGGAAAUAGCACUAUUCCCCAAAGAUAUCAGAUGCCAACUCAAAUAAUGUGCUAAACUUUGUUUAGAAGGAGCAUGUGCUUGCCAGGGCCCCUGUUGGAGACCUUUCACCCCAGGCAAUGCCCUUCAUGGAUGGCAUGUAAUGAGACCGUCCCCCCCUACAACAUGUCAUUUAGUGUUGGGGAAGAUGCAUGCUUUGGUCAUGGGAUUUUUAGGUCUAUACCAUCUUCUUUACCAAGCUGGACAAAUCUGCAGACAGCACAGUCAGCCUGAAUCUGAUGCUCGAAUUCAGUACGUGAGCAGAAGAGGUUGCCCUGUGACAGGAAAGAGUGCUUUAUUCUAACCUGAAAGAGAGAUAAAUUAGGUCAGACAAAAGCCGAGUGCUGUCAUCGGCUGGAGAAAGAGGGCCAGCCAUUUAUCUGAUGAUUUCUCUACUUCAGUUAAUGUUCGAAUGGAGCAUAUAGCGACAGCAAGCUCUCUGGACAACUUAGGGAGGAAGAGCCACCGUCACCUCUGGAAGGCUCCGGCCCAGCAGUGGCCUCUGGCCUGCAGAAGACUGUUAAGAAAAUUCAGUUUAGAAAUCCCCAGUCCUUUGCCUUGGAACCUGCGGAGCUCGCAGGCUGUGGCUGAGCCCUGACCACAGGCAUGACAGUGCACAUAAGACAAUAAGAAGGACUGGAGGGAUGGGUCAGGGUCUUGUCCUUUGAGGACUCUCUCCACUCAUCUCCAGGGGCUGAAAGGAGGACCCUCUGGCUGCCUGAUUGGGCCUCACCUUAAGCUGAAACUCUCUAAGGACUUUGGCUUCUGGUGUUACAUCUGGGGAGGACAAGGGGAAAAUAAACGCUCUCAGGGGACCAUGCUCUGCACAGCACAGCACGGCCAAGUUACUGAUUCUGGCCGAGGGACCCUCUCUGAAGACGGAGCUAGUUGUAGACACACUCAUGUACAUUUUAAUGGGACCGAGGUAUGGAAGAAUGUAUGGGGAGGUGCUGACCCAGGGAUGAACAUCAGUGUCUUCCAGCUGCCGACUGGCUUUGUCACUUUGCAGUACGGUUUAUUUACUCACAUGAUCCAACCUGGGGUCUUGUGUGUUCUGUCUUUUCCCUGCUCCCUGAUCCCGCAAAUCUGCCUUCCCGCCCCAGGGAGCCAAACAUUGGUGAUAUCGUUCACAUUUUUUCUCCCUGCUCCUCGGGAACAACCGUUUGUUCACCGCCUGCCUCCCUUGAGCAGUAGGUUUUCCCAGGAUGUGUAUGCAAAGCCCGAGAGCAGGCUAUUUGGAGACUCACGAAAGCACAGGGACACACUUCUUGUGUCUGUCUUCUUCAUGAGCUGAUGGAGGGGGUGAGCAGAGUGGCCUCGCUCUUACUGGUAAAAGUGACACUAGAUCGGGGUUUGAUAAAUAGUGCUAGAUUCAUGGGGACUUGGGUCCAGCAUUUUGACAUAUGCAAGUUUUCUGUGUAGUUGCUGAAAUUCAAGAAAUUCAUUUUUUUUUUUUUUUUCCUCUGUGGCAGCUGAUAAUUUGCCUGGGUGUUGAAUUAGCCAGCCCGAGCUAUUUUACUGUAAUGAAAUCCCAGACCACACAAAAUUAAGUAACUUCAAAGUAAAAAGAGGGGGAAAAAACUCCUCUGUUUUUCCAUAACUUUUUUAUGACCCCCUUCCACUGAACUGCUGAAAUACAAAUCCAUUUGUGAAACAUUCUAAUGAGUCUUGUAACAUGCAAGGCUGACUCAAGAAAGUCCAAUGCCAAUGUUAUUGUGAUUAACAUGUGCCGCAAAUGGAUGCACUGUUUAGAAUUUUUUUAGUAAUGGGGUCAUGUUGAAAUUUCUACCUUGGAAACGAGAUGUUGGAAGCAGCUCUUGCCCUCGUGAUGUUGCUGUCGGCCUCUGAGAAUCUGAAUUCUUCCAGUCCAAGCCUCGUGGUCCAGGGGCCCUUAUGGAAGUCCUUUGAAAAAGGACUGGCGCCUUUGAAAAAGCAUGAUGUUAAAUAAAACAAAUCUCUUCAUUUGGCCACAAAGAAUGCUUUUGUGUCACAUCAUUAUGAGCCCCAUUGUGGCUCUGAGAUUUAAGGAAUUUGCAGUUUUGUAGAAGAAUGUGUUAAGAAGGUGUUCUAUAGUGGGAAAUUGUUUUUUUCUACCCUCCUUUAAGGAAGUGUUUUACUCAAAACAUGGGACACUUCAUUCUUUGGUGUUGAGGAUUUAAUCUUUCAUUUGUAGCCUUUAAGUAAGGAUCUGUGCAUAUUCGGGGUGUGGCUUCCUUAUUGGUUUGUUCCUUUUUUUCUGAUUUAGGGUUGAUGAGACCCAGAUUCCUGAGCUCAGUUUUUGGGGUUCUGGACAACUAAGUGCAGUGGGGAGGGGAGGAGGCUGGACUAAGCCUGUGGAACACCCCUGGGUGUUUUGUAAGGAACUGUCCUUCAUCUGUCCAAAACUAGGCUGGCGUUUCCCAGGACUGUCUGUGUGCACGGGCUUCUCCCUUGCACCACUCAAUGUUCCACUCAAGUUUAUUGACAAUGUGAGUGAGGUUCUUUUUCCCUGUAGCCACAACCUCUUCACUGAUCAGGAGUUCCUUGUUUCUUGGACUGGGGGCUUGGCCCACACCUUUCCCCACUGGCCACGUGAGCAGGAGCCUGGUCAUCCUUCCAGAGGGGGGAACCUGACCCAAGUUGGUGACCAUGUUUUGCACUGGCUGCCUGCUGUGUAUCUUCUUCCCAGAUGUCAUAAUGGUGAACAUUUUAUUUCAAGGCCUGUGCUAUGGUUGGCUUAGAGUGGACGGGGUGGUGGCCUUAGUGUGCAGCUGUCCCUCCAUGGAUGUGGUCAUUGGAGGGUCUCUGGAAGGCACAGGGCUUUGACACCCAGAACAGGUUGGACUCUGCAGUUCACUGAGCAUGGUCAGGGCGCAGAGGGCUCCUCCACAUAAUGCUUCCUGCUUCAGACCCUGCCUGGCCGUGCCCCCUGGCUGCUCCCCUCCUCCCUUCUUCAUGUCCUAACCCUGCGCGGCCCUGCGUGGACAUCCUUCCCAGCACGUCUCGCUCUGCCUCCGUCUCGGCCUCUGCCAGGCUUUAUCAUCCCCUCAGCUGGGAGAACUUCAUGAAAUCUCUUGUCCUGCCUUUUGAGCAUCAUCUGGUCAUAGGUUAUUUUCUACACCAAGAAUUGAUUCCUGCUCUCUCCCAUCCACCCACUUCUUGCCCCUCCCCAUGGUUGUUAUUUUCCCUUGGAUCCAAUAAAUUAAAAAUUGAUGGCAGCUCAGAAAGUGUUGUGCUCUGUCGCGUGCGCGCCUUGGUGGCGUUUCAGUGUCGCCUGGAGUCUCAGUCCCUCCCUGAACGUUCACAGCGAAGAGAAUAAAAAGAUCCCUUUGCAGAUUACUGGUAAGCAAGGGCUUGCUAGCAGAGGCUGCGACUUCGUAGGAAGCAGGUGCAAAGUCUCCUCGGUGCAGAGCUCGGGCGACGGAUGCUCAACAUCUCUUGUAAACACGAGUACACAUCACGAUGGCGGCUGUGACGUUGGCGGUACACGGGUUUAAGAGCCUGGUGCAUCUCUCCUCACCCCUCCCUCCCGCCCCCCAUCACCAAAACAAUAAUUCUGCCUGGAUUUCUUCUGUACUGUGGGUUAGCCAUUAAAGAUAGAGAUUUGGAUUUGAAUUGACACAGAGUGAAGGGGAACAGGAGCCUAUGUGCUGUAUAUGUGGCAGGGCACGUGUGUGUGUGUGUGUGGUGUGCCCACAUGUAUGGAGCUGUGCACAUGCCCUGUACUCUGGGGACAGCAGGUGACCGACCUCUUGGCUGGAAUUCCCCGUAGGGCAGGUACAGGGGUGGUGGUUAGAGAUGGACCCGGUCGGGUGGGGCCUCAGGAGCCCAGUAUGUGGGGAAAGAACUCCCCAGGUGAGGCCUUGCUGAGCCCUCGAAGGGCCCCUGUUAACCUUGUCUCUGCGUUUCUGCCUUCUGCCCCAAAUUCCUUCCCAGCAGAGCUGCGACAUGGGGAAGUUUGUCUUGGGAUCAAGUGCUCCCCCUCCACUUAACAACGAUGCCCAUUAUUAUUUGUGAAGCUUGAUUUCAUUGCUUCUAAACGCGUUUACCAGCUGGGAGGAGGCCUAGCCUUGUAAAUAAAAUGUGGUUUUGUUGUAAAAGAAAACUCUGUGUGUGUGUGUGUGUGCGCACACACACACAUGCAUGUGCCUGAGGAAAUAUAUAUUUGUUCAUACACUUUAGGGCUGAACAUUUCAGAAGCCUCCUCAGCCCUCUGAUUUCUGACAUUUGAGCCAGUUGCCUGCUGUAUCCAUUCAUUUUUCCUCUUAAUGAGUCAAACAUUGUUGCCAUCGCUGGCUGAUAGUAUACAGAGAGCAGAGAUAUUUUGCAGGGCCGCCUGACACUGGGGAAGUUUCAUAAAAGCACCUCUCACCAUAUCUUUUGCCCUAUUUUUUUUAAGGCCCAGCUUUGCUGGAUGUGGCUGUAGGAGGACUGGUUUGUGGGGCUUGGGGAUUUGAAGGGCUGCUUUUAUUCGUCUCUUCUCUUUCCUGGGGUUUUCUCCUCUCUGGUGGAAGUUUUGACCUCCGAGGUGGUGCAGAGUUGGGGUUACGUAUAAAUCAGGUGUCCAUAGGACAGAGGAGGGGGCUCCCGAGGACGGGGCACCUUCUCACCUGCCUCUUCUCAGGACUUUCUCCUUUUCUGUCUUUCAUUAUCGGUACAGUUCUAAGAAGGGACACACGCACCCUGCACCACACACACACACACACACACACACACAUGCACGCACACUCACACACACCCAACAGGCCCAGCCCGGUAUCCGCCUGCCAGCGGAAAUGAAACCACAGUCUUUGGGGUGUCGUUGCAGGCCCUGAGCUUCAGGCCUGAGCUGCCUUGUCCCACCUGCUUUGACCCAGAAGUAGAGUGGUUUGGGGUUCAGGGGACUCUGCUGCCUGACGCUGAGGGCAACCUUCCCUCCAGGUGUCACAUGGAGCAGGUCAGAGCUCAGUGCUCUGCAGCCUGGGGGUGGGGAGAGGAAUCCCCAGUCUGUGGAGUUGACAGGGUGGACAUGCUGAAUUCUUGGGAGUUUUAUUUUUCAAGGCUGGAAGUUGGAGGGGAAGGAGGGAGGUUUUUUUUUUUUUUUGCCUCAUUUCUUUUCCUCCGAACUCCCUCAGAGGCAGUGAGUUGGGUCCAGGUCUGGGCAUGGAGACCCAAGUUCAGAGCUGAGCCUGGAGCCCUGGCUAGUCUUGGGCUGCCUGAGGGAGGCUGGCAGGGCCUGGCUCCCCGUGAAGGGACUUGACACUGAAAUCGGGUCUGUGGCACUGUCAAUGGCACUGGAGACCUUCAAACUCAAUUACUGGGGCUCACAGGGCUUGCUUCACGAGGAUAGUGAAAGACAGGGACCACCAGAACACCGAGGGAGCACCAGAUGUUACCCCCAGAGAGAGAGAGAGAGAGAGAGAGAGAGAGAGAGAGAGAGGAGCUGGUGCAGAGUCUUGGCCAAGGAGGCCUGGAGACCGAGGGAUGCUGGUGGCCAGGCCUGAGUGACCUUUGCUAAUUUCAAAAUUUAUCUGUGUUUCUUUUGAAUUAGGAAAUGCAUCUGUAGCUUAACACUUCUAGCAGAGAGGAGGUCUCUCGGCUGGGCUGGCUAGAACAUCUACCCAGGAGGGUGCACGUGGCUGUAAAUGUUCAGAAAAAAAACAAUAAAAAAGUCAGCUGAAGAGUCAAUUAGAAGACAGAAAGGGCUCCUGGCGCUUAGCAAGGGCGACCAAGUCGGGAAUGUGGAGGCCACGUUGUUUUUAUCAGUGCUGUGCGGGAGGCAGCGUGCCAGGCUGCUCAGGGGUGGCGUUUAGAAGGGAACCAGGUACCUACCUUGCCCCUGUUCUGUUUGAAUUCUCAAUUUCAUUUUGUCCUUUUUUUUUCUUUUUUUUCCUCUUUUCAGCUCAUUUCCUUUGUGCUUCUCUCUGUCUCUCUCUCUUUUUUUUAACAAAACAAUAUUUUGACAUCCUCCUCCCAUUUAUUAGCGCUCCUUCUCUAGAAAUGGCGCACAAUACAUCCUUAUAUUUCUAAAGAACUGUUUUCACAGCCCUCUCCUUUGGCUCUGAAAUUAUGUAUAUGUAAUUGGUAAUUAAAGGUGCGAGCUUUUCAAUAUAAACAGUAUUGCUCAAUGUUAGAUCAUUAAAGGGAAAAGAGGCACCGAAUAAUUACCUUUUACGUCCUGACAAACCGUUCACAGGCUUCUAGGCUCUCCCUCCAACCACUGUUCAGCGGGAAGCUUGUGAUUACAUUUGAACCAUAGCAAAGCAUCUUUUCAUAAAAUAAAUUGGUAAAUUAAUUAUGUAGCAUUGUCUCCAAACUCCUUUUUAAGUAAACUCCGAUUUCUUUUUAAAGUGUAAUUAAUGGUCUGUGGGACCGGCUUUGUGAGGACUGUUUCUUUACCUUGUCGGAUCUUUUUGUUCGAGGUCUGCAGACGGCAGAUGUAGGAUUUCCUCAUCUGCGGGGUGUUUUUGUGCUGCCACUUUUCUGACGCAUUUCUACGUUUAAUUCAUCAAGGGCCCUGUCUGCCCUGCUGUAACCACAGGCGGGAUCUCCAGUCGCGAUUUCCCUUCUCAGCGAUACCUGUUCCUCUCCCUGUCCACACACAGUUCGGACGUGACGCUACGUCACCAGCCCCAGCUUCUGUGCUGAGUUUUCCCCACGGGCUCUCCAGGGCCCUGAGCAAAAGUCUGCGUUCAGAAAGCACAGAGCAGUGAUUUCUAUGUCGGAUGGAAGAUGCCACAGAAUUUUUUCCUUAAAUUAUCUGUUCUUUGGCUCUGUCCUUUUGGUAACUUCACUGCCACGGAAUGCGUUUCCCUCCCUCCCAGUCCUUCUCCCCGUCCUUCUGUGGUUCUCAUUAUCCUUCCCUAAAUACCACGCGGCUGGAGAUCUACCUGCCUCCUUGGCCUUAGACCCCGGGCUCCUCUGAAGGUCCUGCCACUUGCCCUGCCUACAACCCCACUGACGUCUGCUCUCAGAACAUUCCAGGCCGAGUCUGCUCAGGCCUCAGGGACUCUGAACCCUGCUGUCACCCACUUCCCCUUAUGGAGGACACUUUUGGCUGUGGACUUCUGCAGUUUCCCCUUGAGAGGGUGCUGAGUUUAGAGGCAUCCAUUAGCUUCAGAAUAUUCAGGUCCCGUGCUCCUUCCCAGCAUUGUCCCUGCGAAAACAACCAGCAGAGGAAAUAUACUGGUGGCUAAAGAAAUAUAAAAACACACAGCCCAUCGGACACGUGCUUAGGUAUUUGCCAAGAAAUGCUUUUGGAGUCUGAAGAAUUUUUUUUUUCUUUUUCUUUUCUAUUUCUGAGCAUGAAAGUAAAACCAACCAACAAAAAGGGGCAGAGAGGAGCGGAUGGGUGCUGAGGGGCGCUGAGGGGUGCUGGGGAGCAGGCCAGCCUGCUCCCCUGCGCCGACCGCCUGGCCCCUGCGCCCUUCUGUAGCCUUCAGUGGUUUUUGGAACCUGACACUCACUUGUCGCUUGCUGAGCGUGUGGGCUUCUUUCUCUCACAAGGACCGGCCCUCCACGCCCGUCUGGGUUUCUGUUUCCUAGUUUGGUGCGAGGCCAGGGCUCAGGUAGAGGAAUGUGAGGAGGAUGGGUAUGGAUGGGAGAACAGGAACAUGAAUGGCAGCGUCCCAGGGAAGGGAGGGCUGGCAGGUCUGCCCAAGCAGGGGGACCGGGCUCUGGCUCCCUGCUUCCCAGCCCGUCACCUGGGGAGCCUCACACAAUGCUCAUGUUCAGUCCCACUGUGACGGAGCCGGGGUGCAGCUGCCUGGGCAUCAGGAUAUUUCGAAGCUCCCCAGGUGAUGCUCAGAUACCGUGAGGCUUGAGAGAGACGUCUCCAGCUGGUACUGUUCACCAGGAUGGGUGUGACGUGCGUGUGUACAUGUGUGUUCGGAUGCUGUGUUGGGGAGAAACUGGCAGAAAACACGCCAGGAAGCAGUAAAACCAGCACCACCAAUGUGGUACCCUCUGGGAGUUCGGGUGUCUCUCCCGGGGCCUCAGAGUGCCUGGUGGGGGGCUGGCAAUCUCUGGUCCUGGGGAGGGCACCGUGAGCCCCAGCAGCCAGCAGCAGAGGGUGUCUGCUUCUUGGAGGGGAAGGUGGGGAAGGAGCGCCGGGUGCCUGUGAUCGCCUAAGCCCAUCUCUGUCUUCUCUGCCCCUCCCCUGUCUCCAGCAGAGGCUGACCACGUGGAGGCCGCCAUCCUCGAGGAAGAUGAGGGUCUGGAGAUAGAGGAGCCGAGCGGCCUGGGGCUGAUGGUGGGUGGCCCCGACCCUGACCUGCUCACCUGUGGCCAGUGUCAGAUGAACUUCCCCCUGGGGGACAUCCUGGUUUUUAUAGAGCACAAGAAGAAGCAGUGUGGCGGUAGCCUGGGUGCCUGCUACGACAAAGGCCUGGACAAGGGCAGCCCGCCACCCUCGCGCUCCGAGCUCAGGAAGGUGUCGGAGCCGGUUGAGAUCGGGAUCCAGGUCACGCCCGAUGAAGAUGACCACUUGCUCUCGCCCACGAAAGGCAUCUGCCCCAAGCAGGAGAACAUUGCAGGUAUGGAACGUGGCGUUCACCUGGCCGCUGCUGAGGCCGCCUCCCGGGUCCCACGCCCUUGGUCUGAGAGUGCUGGUGCUGCGGGAGGUCUGGGGGCUUCCAGGAUGGCCUCUGGGGCUCCCCCUUUCCGAGGGCCCACCAUCUGGGUGACCCUCUGGAGGAGAUAGGCCUGAGGCUCAGGGAUGCCCUUUGGCCUGGUAGGGCGCUUUGCUUUCGGCUUGGGGACUCAAUGGUGGGGCCUAAUCCAGAGGUGGCCAGGAACACAGAGUGGAGAUCUGGAAGUCUGCGUGGUGCACUCUCUGCUGGUGAUCUUGGCUCAGUCCCUGGCUUUGGAGCCGGACAGUCUGGGGUUGGAGUCUGUUCUUUACAACUGGGAUCCAUCAGUCUGCCCUGCCGUGAAGUGGGCUAGGGGACCCUAGUCUCCGAGGACUCUUGUGAGGACUGAGGAGACGGUGAGCGUGGCCAUGACUGGUAGGCCUCCCUGAGUGGGGGCACUUGUCUCCCCCAUCUCUGAGGCUGCUUCUCACGUUGCCUGACCCCAAGGGUAGGUCUGGGGGAAGGGAGCACUGUGUCCCUUCAGGAGGUUGGACAUGCCGCCUGGCUAACCUGCACAGCGUGUCUGACCACCUUCAGAACAGGUGUGGGGCUUUGCCUGCAUCCCCCAGCAAGGUUCCUUUGCAGUGAGUCCUACCUCCUGGCCACACCAUGGCAUGCUGGUCCCCCCUGGGAGCCACUGCUCUGCAUGCAAACCAGACUGUUCAUACUUCUGAACCCGGGAGGUCUGAGGGAGACAGGGGCCCCUGGCCUGGCUGUGUUCCCUGAGACUGCAGCCUCUCCUGGAGUGCGACAGGAAUCAGAGCUCAGGCAGAGAACAGUUGGAAUCCUGCUGGUUGACUUGGGGCUGGUCACCUCAUGAGCCUAAGUUUCCCCAUUUGUCAACAAGGCACGAUGUCCCCGCAGGCCUGGGAUGAGGGUUUAAUGCACGGGGAGUCCCCAAGUCCUAUCCAGUGCAGCUUUUCUCCCAGGGGUCCCCUCUGGCUCUGCAGCAUGCCAGUAGGUGGCCUGCUGGGAAACUGUGUGGCUGGACCCCACAGUGAGGUCCUGGAGGCUGAACAGGGCACUGGAGGGACUGGAGGUGAUAGAGGUGGGUGUGGCAGGGACCUCCUGUGACCCAGGAGGGUAAUUCACCAAGCCCAUCUCCAGCACGUGGCAGCUUUGUGACUUGGGGCCUCCCUCUGCCCACCUGCACAGUGGUGUCCAUGAGGUCGUUUGAGGUUCCUGCGGCCCAUGCUGGGCAGUGGGUACCUUUUGGUGAGUGCCCAGCUUGAGAUCAUAUCCUCCUUCCCAGAAGCAAGGGGUGAUGCUGCAUGGUUGGGACCCAGCCAUCAGGAGAGAGGGAUGCUGGGUCCUGGGACUGUGUGCCUGCUACUCAAGGGACAGUUUCCAGCAGUGGAUGAACACCCGCUGUCACUGAACACAGAUUUUUCAGGGGUGGCCUCUGGUGAGGUCCCCAUUUAUUCCUCAAUGCACAGACCCACAGCUUUUACCCCAAACACCUGAAUUCUCGUGCCACAUUGAAGUUGUUUCCAAGGAGAGUCUUUGGGUCCCCAUGGCGAGUUUAAGAAAGUGACUCAACAUGAUUUUAUACCAGGAAAGGCUGAUCUCCAAGGCUGCUUUGUCCUUACCCUCGGUCCGUCUUACACCCUGGGUUUUUUUUUUCCUUUUCCCCCUUUUUUGGGUAGUAAUACUGUAGCAGGCUCCAGUAUUUUUAUUUUAUGUGUGACGAAAGAUAUACUUGGCCUUUCUGUUCGGCAACAGGACGAAUGGAUUUCUUCAUUUUAGAAGAAAUAUGUAAAAUAAUCCCUCAGAAGUCUAAAGAGAUAUGUUUGUUCAAAGCAUUUAAAAUGUUAUUUUAAUCAAAGACACACCACAGUCUACACGCUGUGUCAGCGGCGGACGACCAUUCCAUUUAACAGCCUAUCACGGGCUCCUUUCUAGUCCCCGUUCUUCCCAUUUCCCUCCCUACUUUGGUACCAACUUUUCUUUUCGUUCCUUUUUUUUUCAUUUAAUAAAAAAGGAAAGAUUAAAGAAUAAAACUUCAGUGGCUCAAAUGUAUAAAGUAAUUUAAUAUGGUGGGAGCAUUAAUUAUUUUAGCUUAAUUGAAUUCUGAGGACUGCAGUCUUUGCAGUUUUUGAAGACAAGCCCUGUUUAUUAUUUCUCUGUGUAGAUUAACAGUAAAGGAAACACAGAUAACUUUCAGUUAUUUAUUGUAAAAUAAAUGUGUCAAUUCAUGUGUAAAGCAAGCUGCUCAAAGAUAAUUGAGUCUUUAUAUUUUAAGAGGAGGACUAGGAAUCAUGGGUGCUUCUCUGCCCGGGCUUCCGGAAACCCGCACAGCUGCUGCCCCGGCCCUUGGCACGGCUGGCCUCGCUGGGCCCCUCCACUCCUGCCUUCAGGCCACGGCUCCAAGGGUCCUUCAGCUGCUUCAUGGGCUGCUGUUGUCCCUAUGGCCUCGUUGGCCCUGGCCAGUCCCUGGCAAGUGGUGGCAGUUAAUUCUUGGGACCCUACCUCUGGCUUUGGCUGCUGGUGUGGCUGAGCCCAAGGCGAGGUGGCCAUGAGGGUCCCCCUGUGCUGAUCCCAUGCCUCUGCUUUCCCCGCCAGGACCCAGGCUUUUCUCUUAGCAGAGAUGGAUGGGAGGGCUGGCCUAAGUAAGUGGGGUUCCCUCCUGUUCUUCAGUCCCCAGGGUGAGGACUACUGUGGGAACGGGGUCGGUCAUUGCAUGGGGGUGUGGGCCCCAUAUCAGCCUUCUGUCCUUUCCUUCCUUCCUUCUCUCGUGAUAAAUAGGAAGGUGAAGGGAGGCGUUUUCUGGGGCUUCAUCUUCUGCAGGACAUGCAUCCAUUCAUUCUCUGAGCACCUGUGACCCUUUCCUGUCCUGGGCAUCUAGGCUGAGAGGAGAGCCCCCGGGGGAGGGAGAGGAUGUCUCUGUGGGGACCGUGGCCCAGUGUGAGCUGGUGUGAUGUUGGUCCAAGGCCAGACCUCCAGCAUCUGCUGUGGUAGAAGGGCUUCCUGGCUGUGUGUCUCCAGGCCCGCCUGGGGGCAGGGCGUGGGUUCUGUCUUUGGCCUGGAGGUGUGCUAACAGCUGCCCACAUGUGAGUCGUGGGUGUCCUGAGGUCCCUUCCUAUGGCCUCUCCCUGCCCCUGUUGAGGUUCUGCUGGAGCACAGGGUCCAUGUGUGGAGGGCAGACAGGAGCUCCCUGGACCCUGGGAGGGGAGGCGAGAGAGGUUCUAGGUGUGGCAAAGAGCAGAAAUCACUGAGCAGUUAUCUGGGAGGGUGCUUGGAGGAGGACUGGGGAGGAUGGGACCUGGUAUUUGGGGUUUGAAGGCCUUGUGCAGCUUGGGAAAGAACGCAGCCCAAGCAGGAGCCUCCCCUGCUCCCCCCAGUCUGUGGCAUGUGACUCGACCUCUUAGCCUCAGUUUCCUUGUCUGUGCGGGUACUUAAUGAUGAUUGGGUGUUUUUUUUUUUUUUUUGGUGUGUGUGUGUUGGGGGGUACUGGGGGUUGAAGCCAGGGUCAAUGAGCCAUACUCCCAGACCUAUUUUUUAAAUUUUUAUUUUGAGGCAGUGUGUCCCUAAGUUGCCCAGGCAGGCUUUGCAUUUGUGAUCCUCCUGCCUCAGCCUCUCAAGUUGCUGGGGUCACAGUUGUGAGCCGCCACACCCGGCGACGGUUGGGUAUGUCUGACAUGUCUGUGCCUGGUACACGUGGACGUAGCCAUGUGCACACAUGAGCUGCUUCUUGGUGCUUUGUUGUUCCCAACUCUGACAUACUUUGGGGUGUUGGAGUAACCUGCGGAGGUCUCUUUGGAAUGGGGCUCCCCGUUGAGAGUUGGGGAAAAUGUCCUUUGGGUCUGAGGAUUUCACUAUCACAAACGCUGUCAGAGUGAACUGACUGCGGUUCAUGUCUGCCCUCUGUCUUUUGUCACGUUAUGUCACACAGUGACAGCUCUAUGCUGGACUCACCCUGGGGAGGGGCUGGGGCCUGGGCGUCUUCUGGGUUGAGCCCUAGUGUCCUUACCUGCUGGCCGUCCAGGUGAGAUGCCUCACUUAUCGGGCCUGUCUCCACACCUACUUUGCAAUGGUAAACCGAGGGCGAGAUGAGAUGGUGCCGGGAAACACCCCACCAGCCUGCAGGGGAGCCAGAGGCAGCUACCAAGACACUUCUAGAAAGCCGAGCUGAGGAAAGUGUGGACCCCGCUUGGCAGCAUUCAGGGGGGCUUGCUUUUCUCAGUCAAAACGUUUGCGUACCGACCUGGGAUUUCUAAGCGGUUUCUUCCAGACACUUCCUUAGCAUCACCAUUAAUAGCACUGGAGCGAGGGGCCUGGUCCCUGGUCAUUCAGGUUUCCAAGGUAUCACCCCUUCCUUAGCCCAAAGAAGCUGCAGCGGGGAGGGUACUGGCCAUCACUCAUCAGUUUGCUUUCCCCCCUGUCCCCACAAACCCAGAACGUAAGUUUCUGGAGAAGUGCAAAGAUAGGCAGCAAGUGACAGAAGGUAGCAGAUCCCCCUGGGCUGGGAGGUGGCCGGCACUCCCUGCUGGGAUGUUCUUGCCAGCUUUGUCUGUCUUCUUCUGGAACCUGGGAGUGGCCAGGGAGGAGCUUGGGGGGUUGUUACAACAGGCAAGGUACAGAAGGGACUUCAGUUUGGGGCCCAGUGACCAAGACGUAUUGGAGAGAAGGGCUUCUGAUGAGUCUCAGGAUUUAUAUGCUGCUCUGGGAAUAUUUGCUUCAGACUUUAAAAAAAAUAAAUAAAAUAAAUGCGAAAAAUUAUUAGCUUGGCCAGUGGAAGAAACUAAAUAACUUGCUUGUGCUGGAAACUGGAGAUAAACCCCACUCACAGGUUGUCUUGAGAAACUUGCAUUUGAUCUAUUUGGAGUUGUUAUUUUCCUUCCAAAUUAAGAUUAGUUAAAUCCAUGUGCGUUGUGGCAUGGAUUAUCUCUUUUUAUUAUUGAAUCAUGACAGCUAAUUAUUAGUUCUGUCUGCACCGAGGAACAGUGCACUGUCUGUUGAGGGACAUGGCCCUGGGCGCAGGCUGGGGGCUGGGUGCAGGUGCUGGCAGGUUGACCACGCCGCUCAGGCAGGCAGGGGUGAUUGGAGGAGCCAGGGGUUCUACUUGGUACUCCUCACUGUGCUACGUGUGUUUCCUGAGUUAUCUCACUGAAUUUUCUAACCUUGAAAUAGAUAUUUCUAGCCCUACAUGGAAUUUGGGCUUUGAGAGGUUGAGGGACUUGCCCAAGGCCACAGAGCAAAGGGGAGUCAGACCUGGGCUGGCCUGGCUUCCUUGGGUGACUGGAGACAGGAGGCUUUUAGGGAGAGGAGUUUGCGUGUCUCGUUGGUAGAGCCAGUGGUGACAGGCACUACUCCGGGACCCCAUGUGGGAUGGCCCUUGCAGCCCAUCACAGACAUGGCCUUGGUGGAUACAGCCAAGAGUCCGCAGGUUCCUGGAAACCUUGCCUGAGUCUGAGGCACCGUCAUCUCCUUUCCUGUUUGGUGAAGGUUUUGGAGAGGCAGGUGGCAGCGCAAAAAGCAAUAAAAUAUUAAUUCACACGGGCCUGGGCUGGGUUUUUUUUCAUACAUGCAAAUGUGUUUUAGUCUAUAUUCAUUGUCACACAGCACCCCCCCACCCCAUAAAUAACUGCUUUAUUUUGUGGAAUUUUGGGUUUGCAGGAGGCUUGCUUGUAUGACUUCCAGUUACUCAUUCACCUCCCCAAAGCGGAGCCCCUAGAAGGCAGGAGCUCUCUUUCUUAUCUCCGGCUUGCUAGAAGGUCUGAUUUGGACAACGUGGGCAUAAAAUAGGUCCCUGUGGGCUUUGAACUAUUUUUAAUAAUAAAGAGCCAUUGGUGGGAUCCAAAGGAAGGUUCUGGCCUCCUGAUCUGAGCCAGGAGCUUCUUGCUGCCACUCUCCCAUCCUUCCCUGAGCGCAGGGCCUUAAGGCAGGCCAUCCACCGGGGGUGGAGUUCCAGGGUCUUCACCUGUAGAUGCAGCAAGCAAUGCCUGUCCUGCUGGCCCUGCAAGGUGGGGGCAGGGGACAGAGGCUACUCACAAACUACAAACCAGAGCAGAGGACAUCAGCAGGGCCACCUUGACUUUAGCCCUGAGUUGUAGUGGAAUUUUUUAUUUUUAAAUUUUUUUUUAAUUUCAACAAACAAGGACAAAAAUACGGGUCACUAGAAGGAUGGUUUCUUUCCCCCUUUGGGGGUUUAUACAGGUGGUUCUGCACUCCCAGCAGCGCGUCAGGAAAGAGGGAAGAGAGCAGAGAAGGACAACUGGGCUCCCGUGGGGAGAACUUAACCAACACUCAGCCUCAGUUAUUAUUAUUGUUAGGGUUUUUAUUUGACAAUAAAUAGUUAGCAGUUGACUUAAAUUUUUUAUUAGGCACUUGACAGUUCUGUUUUUGUCCUUGUUGCUAAUGUUCACGCCUGGCUAAUGCUUGGCCACUAGCUCUAGAAUCUGUUAGGAGUGGGCUGUAUGUUGGUGAUCUGUAAAAACAGGCAGCCUGGGGUCACUUUUGUGCCCUUGGGGUCACCUUUUCACUGGGGAAACAAAGAGAUCUUGGAUUUUUGGAGCUUAGUAUGUGCUAUUUGAAGGGCUUUGCAAAGAGUAACUGAUUUAAUCCUCCCUACAACCUCAUAACAUAGGUGCUAAUGUGAACCCCACUUCACAGAAGAGGAAACUGAAGCACAGAGAUGUUAAGUCAUUUGCCCAAGGUCACACAGUGGUGAGUUAGGGCCCAAGGUGUCAACUCCAGCAGUCAGCUCUUCACUAUAGAAACCAGGGCUGCCCGUGGUCACAUUUCAUCCUGCGUUCCCAUCUACUCUACAAAGAUGGUGAAGCAGAAAUUGGUUUCAUUUUGUAAAGGAGGCAGCCGAGUGCAAAGGUGGCUAAGUGCUGUCACAGCCACCCCAGGAGUUGCUGCCUCCACGGUGCCCAGAACCAGGCUCCUGGCUCCCCAGGGUGAUGCUGGGUCUUCACUGGGCCACCGUUGUCUCCCAGCAGCCCAGGCCCCGGGGGAUCCUGUGGUCUUUUAAUGCUCCUGGUGCAGGCCCCCUCUGCUCCUAGCUGGGUGAUGAGGAAUGACGGCCAGUCUUCUAAUGAUGGAUCUCCAUCAUGGUAGCUGGGGCCUAGAGGGUGUGAAAGAACCUGUCCCAUACAUGCCUGUGGACUCUGUGUGGGCCGCCGACUGUGGACUGUGCCUCUUGUGAAGAGCUGCCCCUGACCAGCUGGGUAGCAAUAGGCAGGUGGUCUGCGGCACUGCGUUCGGUGAGGGGCAGGCAUGGUAGACUCUGGCCUGAGGCCUCAUCCUGUGGCUGACAAGCUGUGUGGCCUUGAGUGGGCCCUCUCCCCUUCUGGGCCUGAGCUCCUGAGCUGAGAAUGUGCUAAGGAACCACCAGUGGCUUCCAACAGCUGCAAGAGCCAGGCUGGGGGGGCGGGGGUGGGAGACCACAGCUUCCCACCUAAAUCCCCUCCCAUCCAGCAACCCUGACGUGACUCCGCUGUCACAUGCGGGGUGCAGGAAGUACGUUUUCUCUGAAGAAGCAUGGCUGGCAGUGAAAACUGUUAGAAGAAAGACUCCACAGCGUCCUUCUGCCCAUGCGGUCAGGUCACCUGGGAGGAUUUCUGUACUCCCCGGAGGUUGGAGUUAGCUCAAGGCCCCUCUGGGCCAUGCUGCAGUUGUGUGGUUUGGUUUUGUUUUCAUUUUGGUAAAAGGGUCCCCAGAAUCAUUUAAACCUCAGGCUCUGCAAAACCUGGGCCCACCCUGGCCCAGACGCUGCUAGGCCGAGGCUGGUGACCUGCGGGAGGGCAGGGAGCCGGAGCUCUGGAGGCAGAGCAGAGGCCAGCUGCAGAAGGCCAGCUGCCAGGGGCUUCUUUUAUUUUCAAGUGGGUUUCCUGCUGGUCUGCUGGUUCUGGUCUGAGGUCCCUGGGUGCUCAGAAAGGAGUCCAUGCUGAGGGUGGCAGGAUGUGGAGAGGGGCUGAGGAACAGGGAGUAGGACCAUGUGGGGAGCCACAGAUCUGGGAAAGCUUUUGCCGACCACAUGGGCAACAUGGAAGCUGGGUCCUAGGCACCUUUGGGGUGAAAAAUAGCACUCCUGGUGUAGAGAGAAGGCAGCUCUUCAGAGGCACCAUCUCAGGACAGCCCUCUCCUCCAAGCCAGGGGUGUUUGAUCCUGGCUCUUGUCCUUGGGGAAGGGUAGCUUCCAGGACUUCUGGGCUGUCAGUCUCCGUCAGCCAGAACACAGCCUCAAAGGUGCAGGCCUUCAGGUGCAUGGGUCAGCACCCACCCAAGAUGACCCCAAAGGCACAGAGACCUGCAAGCUGACAGCCCCAGGGCCUGGAUUGUGCUCCAAGUGAUGGAGCACAGAUAGACAUCUGUCCAAUCCCACAUGGCAGCCAAAGAACCCUAACCCCCUGAUGACUUCAGAAGCCAAAGUCAUCCUCGAAAGUCCUUGCUCAGGACAGACCAUGCCUUCCGAAGGGUACAGCCUCCCAGGGAUCCAGGGGUCCUCUCUUGGGGUAGGGGCCAGGGACUGCCUGUCUUGGACUCAGUGUGACCCCAGUGUGGAUUCUUCUCCCUGAAGGAGGAAGUAGAACAAACCUUCCAAUACCCCUUCCCACCUCCAGCAACCUAAAAACAUUGGGGUUGUAGACCCUCACAACUUGGGUUCUCCCUUGGAGUCUGAGCGGGUUCUUUCCCCCUCCCACUACGAGUUCAAAGCCAGCCAAUUAAGAAACCUAAACAGUGCGGUCUUCGCCCUGCAUCAUUGGCUUGUAAAACUUUCCCUGCAAACGAGGCGACUUUAUUCGCUGGGAAAAAGAAGUAUGUAAUUUUCCUGACCUGGCCUUUGCUUUGGGGAGACGAGGAAAGACAGAGAAGUCAUUUCCAUAAACAGACAAGCCCGGAGGCCGCAAACGAGGUCCACACUCCGGUGUCGGGGCAUGCGGACCGCAGCGAGGCGGGCUGGAACGCGGAAAGCGGCCAGCGGCGGGGAGGAGGGUCAGCGCGGAGCGCUCUGCCUUAGGGUGCCUGUGGGGGAGUGGUGGCGGUGGGGCGGGGGCAUCAAAGUCCUCCUGACCCUGCGACUGAACCUUUGCUCCCGCUCCCACGAAACCAGGCGCCACCAGUGCAAUUUCCCAAGUUCCCCGACGAUCGCAACUUGCAAGACUCUGGUCGCCCCCGCCUGCGGCACCCACUCCUUACACCCGGACCCUAGCGCUCCCCAUGCCCAUGCCAACCCCCGCCACGUGCGAGAGCGGCCGGGGCAGCUCCUGCCCUUCAGGCCUGGGACGUUAGGCCCCGCCCUCCCGGAGGCUGCGAGGUUGGGGUCCAUUAGCGCCCCUUUUACACCCAGGCAGAGUACACAAUGGCCUUCCAACAGGCGGAUGGCUGAGCCCUGGCGGGGGCGCGGAACUGACCCGUACCUCCCGGAUCCCACCACGCGGACAAUCGGGCAACUUCGAGACUGUGCCAGGGGCUUUCCCUGCGGCGGUGUUCCUCCUGCGCCUGGCCCGCGUUUCACCGGGGGGCUCCCGUGCCUCGGGACGCGCCUGGUCCUCUCUCGGUCCCCUCCCUGCCCCUGGCCUCUCCAGCCUGCGCCCAGGGCGCGCUGCUCUAUGCCCAUAGGCCAUCCCCUUCCCGCUCUCCCCGCCUGGGUCUCUCCGCGCACGUUGAUUGUGCCUUCCUGGGCGGGAGGGCUGGGGGGCUUCAGGCCCAUGCAUAAUUCGGGGGCUUAAUAGGCCAGCUGCCCAAGCGGGGCUGCGAGGGGCGGGCGGAGGCGCAGCGAACCCUGCCCGCGUCUGGCCCUGCCGGGAAGGCGCGCUCCUUUCUUCCUCCCAUGACAGCUCCCCUCCCCCUCUCGGCCCGGGUCCGAGGAAGGCGCGGGGUGGGCAAGUCGAAGGGCUAAACGUAGGGAGGGGGCGUCCUUAGUGCUUCCGCGUAACUUUUGUUUUGGGGGCUGGGGCGUGCAGCGAUCGAAGCCGCCUCGGGACCGGCUCCCGUGGGAGCUGGAAUACAGGUUUCCUCGCAGCACUCCGCAGCCCUGGAGUCUGUUUUCCGUGCCCCUUCCCCCUGGCGGCCCCCGUCCAGCCGCAGCCGUGCGAGCACGCCCCUGGCCCGGGGCCAGCCCCCUUCCCCGGCUGCCGGCGGAGAUGGAUGGAGGCGGAGACCCAAGGUCAAGGGCGGGGAGUCCGGGGGCCCAGGGCCCCUUUGUGCGCGCCGGCCGCCCCUCCUCCACCGGUCGCUCUCUGCUUGCCCCCCGUGCUUGCGCCCUGGAGGGUGACCUUGUCGGGCAAGGCGAAUUGCAUUUCUGGACCCCUGGAAACUGCCAGUGGCUCCCUCCCCGAAACCACCAGGCACGAGGGGCGGGCUUCCUCUCCACAGUGACAUUUGUCCAGGAUUCCGGGGACGCCCGGGGACCCCCUCUCUGCCCGCCGCCAUCGCCCGGAAGGGUCGCGCGGCCUUCAGCCCGCCAGGUCCUGAUGCAGGUGAGGCCCAGAAGGAAGGAGCCUCAGAGUUCCCUAGCACGGUUUGUGAUCACGCUGGGGAAACAGGCCUUUUCAAAGUGACUUUCUUUGGAAACUACCCCCACCCCUACCCCGCGAAGAAAAAGAGGGAGCCAGUUUUCAUAGAGGGAAAUCCUAGGGCUGGGACUUAAAAACACAGAGGGACGAAAGUGUUUUCCCAAUUGUGUGGGAAUGGAACCCUCUCUGGCAGGAGACACCUGGAAUUAGCCUCCUGGAAUUACAGGGAAUUAAUGUUAGUUCUUCUCUGCCCUGACUCUCUUAUCACUCUCUUAUCUGUAUGCAAAUGGUCACCUUGCUAGGAGCCGGUGAGCAGGUCUUUAUUUUUGCUUCUUAAAAAUUGGCCUCUGAUUGUUGGAAGCACCUACAGACCCUUAAAGAUCACCACCAGCAAGGGUUGGGCCUCCAGUGGAUCUCUCUAGGAAAGGCUCUUAAGAAAAUGCUCAAACAUUUUCCCAAAGCUGUUAUUCUGGAAAUAAAAAUGUAUGCUGUUUGCCUAUGGAAGAUGGAAAGUUUGCCAUCCCUGUGACAGCUUUUCCAGCCCAGGGUUGGAUCCACAUCUCUAUUCUCCAUUAUUCAGAAAUAAGUCUGAACCAGACAGAACACAUCUGCUAUAACAGGCAAAAAUGUUUUAAGCAUAGGUAUAUACAUAUAUAUUUGGGAUUUGAGUCAUGAACAGCGUUCAUUGCACCCUCUGAGCUCUCCAGGUACUGGGUAAAUAGUGUCUUCCUGGCAUUUUGAGUACAAAAAAAAAACCCCCUUCAAAUCCCCGAUUUAGCUAAUCCAAAGUUUGAGCAGCAGGCUCCUCUGGUGGAGGAGUCAGAGGUAUUUGUCAAUUUAUUUGUUGAAAGGCCUGAGGAGAAGGGAACCAAUUCAACACUUGGCAACCCAAAGCUGCUGCCAGUCCUGGACAGGAAGAUUUUCAUAUCUGCCUGAACUUGCUCGUUGAUUUCUCAGACGUCCAUUUAUAACAGUUCCAACAAGAUAGAAUCUGCCUUUGAAUAUCUGUAAAUACGGGUAAAGAUCACAAUCCAGGCUCAUAAUGGGCCAAGACGAAAAGGCAGAUUCUCCUGUUUGAUUAAUAUUUAUGUUACCGGAUUCCUUUACAGAAGAAAAGAUGAAACACUAAUUGUGUGUGUGUUUGAGGGGGCCUCAUCCUAGGUCUCUGCAGUUCAUUUAGAGAGAUGUACAUUUUUGGAUUUUUGCAGGCCAGGUGCGUGUGUGUGGGUAAUUGUUCAUGUUUUGCUUGAAAGACAGGUAUCCUGUGGUUGGUCGACUUAAUGGCUAUUACCCGGGGAGGAGGCCAAUUUAUCAUCUGUUUUCCUUAUUUUGACGACUCAACACUCACAAAAAUUAGGUGUGAUUUCUCUUUUUAGGUUUGGGUUAAGGCUUUGUGCACAGUGGCAGAAGGUUGUCAUUCACAGUCCAGGGUGCUCGCCUUCCUUGGGGGCACACAUCUUGCUGUGUGUCUCUCUGCGCUCUAGGCUGGGUCUGCAGGCACAGGUGGAUUUGCCUUGUUUUGUUCAGGAACAGUGUGGGGCAAGGGGAUUUGCUUGGCCAUGGGGGAUUUUGUCAGCUGGAUCCAGUUGAAAUUCCACUGGUGGAACUGGGAGCCACAGGGCUGGGAGGAGGCUGCUCUUGCAGCCGUUCUUUCUUGAGCACCUUCAAUCUUAUUGCUUGGAGAAACCUAGAUUUUCUUGGAGGAUUGCCUAUGAGUGUGGUUUCCCACGGUGGCACCUGAGUCCCAGUUAGACGUUUGAUAAAUAUUUGCUGGAACGUCAGGGCCCAUCUUAAGGUGAGAGCACCAGAGUGGAGACUCUGGCAUGGAGCCUUGCACAGCCUUUCAGGUAUUUGCUUCCCUAACAGCCCAAGGCAAACCAGUUCCUGUGUUAGUGUCCUUGUCCAUAAAAUGGGGAUGUGCAGUUGUUUGCUUUCCUGUCACCGUCCAGAUAUGAACACAAACCAGUCUGUGGAGCAAAGCAGUUGCUGAUUUCGAAGACAUCAUAGAAGUAGAGGCUGUUAUUGUUCAGUCUGUGGGGGCGGGGUGACUAAUUUGCAAAGGGGAAAGGAAUCACAUAGCUGCUUGUACAGGGUGUCAUUUUUAAUGCAAGGAAGAAGAAUUAAGGGCUUGGGAGAAGGGUUUGGGAGGGAGGACUUAGAUGUUCAAUUUAGUAACCUAAUACGAAUAGGAAACACUCCUUCUCUGUCCCCAUUCAUUUUAGAGGACCUUCCCACUCCCUCUCUCCCCAGCUUCUUGUUCCUCCAGAGGACUGUCAUGUGAUUCAGACUCUUAAUAACAGGGGUGUUGCUGUUGUCCUUGACCAGGAUACCCCAGAAGAGGUCUUUUUGCUGAUAUUUGGGUUUUGGGCCCCAGAAGGAGGAGAGCAGGACAGACGCAGUAGAGACUUGGGUGGGGGAGGAAUGCAUACAGCAGGCAGCCUUUAAGUGCACAGUCGUGCUACAUGCAGGUGAGGAAGGAACGCCAUGCAGACUGGGGAGGAAAUUCCUGUUUUCUUUUUGCUGCCGCCUCUCUGAGCUAACAGAAAUUGGCAUUUACAUCCAUGGAGUACACAGCUGGCUGUCGCGAAAUGGUACCUUCACUGGGGAAAUGGAAGCCUCCAGUGGCCUGUUGGGGUUCCAUUUUACUUUUUGUUGUUUUCCUUUCCAAGAGGCUUGGUUUCUUUUUCCAGCAAUCCUGGGUGACCUGAAUUGGAUUUUUAACAAGGGUAACCUCUGUCAAGGACCCAAACCUCUGGGUUAGUCUUGCUGUUUAGGAAUACAGAUGCUGUCUUUGCACACUUGCCCCCCCGCCACAGGGCCCAGGCCCUGGGCUUGGGUUUUGGGGUGGGGGUGGGUGAGCAUGCCCUCUCCCUUCCCCGUGGAGUCCUUCAUGGAGCCCUUGUUCCGGCAUCUGAGCCCGAGUGGGGUGGAUACCCGAGUCUGUUGUCGCAGGCUUGUGGCCAGGAGGUGUCUGGUGCUUCUUAAUCGAAUACAGAUCUGAGUAAAUUCCACGUGGGCAGGCAACGGUGGCCGAGGGAGGCGGUGAUGCUCCUGUCUCCCUGUGGCUGGACGGGGAAGCAGCUCGUAACCUCCCAAUCCCAGGAGCCUCCCGGCCGUCCAUCUGGCCCACACGUUGUGCAGAAAGGUAGGGAGGUUGCCGAGGAGUUCCAGGACGCCCGUGUAGACGUUGUUUGUGUGAACGGGUUCUUCCAUCUUUUGUUAGUGACAGCUCGUUAAUUAACCAGCAGACUCCUGCCACCCGCCUUCCUCUGACACAUGCAUAUAUUUUGGGGUAGAAGAUUCUUGGUCUCCCAAAACUCUGAUCCGAACCUUUCAGGAAGUCUCCCUACAGUGCUGCCGCCUCUUCCCUCCCGCUUGUCCUCCCUGCUCCCCCUUCCUGUCCCCUCCUACCCACCCUUCCCUUAAACCCAAGUGGGCUUGUAGCUGACUGGGGGGCGGGCACGUUAAACACAGCUAAAUAAAUCAUGUUUACGCUUGGCUUUCUCGGUAGUGAAAAAUCUGUUGGCCGUUUCUACUUCCUUAUUUCUCAGCAUUUGCUUCCUACCUGUUUUUGAGCACAUGCCCAGAAAUAGUAGUUUUGUCAAAUGAGGGGAUAAUGCCAGCCAGCCUUUCUUGCUGCCAAGGAAGCUGCUGGAUUUUGCAAAACAGAGUGACGUUUUUUUAGUGACACUGAUUUUUUUUUUUCCCCCAAAGAAAUUAGGAUGUAGAAUAAGGGUAUUAAAAUGCACUUAGGGAAGAGGGGGGGAAGCUACCUAGUCACCCCUGCCGCUCAAGGGCUUGUAGAGAGCAGGGAUAGAGAAGAAAGGUCUCCGUUCUGUGUGUACUUGACUGCUGGAGGCGGAGAGGCUGCUCUGGGCCCGGAGAGCUGAGUCAGGGUUCCUUUAUUUCAGCCCCAAGACUUCAUUUUCUGUGCCAUUUUGGUGAUGUUAUGCAAGGAUCCUUUUUUUUCCUGUUUGGUUUUGUAUCUGUUUAGUUUCUGAGGCCCCUGAGCAGUUCUUGCUGCAUUCUUCCUCUGAGGUUACCGUUGGGAAUUUCGCCCUGAUCUGGGAUGGGAGCUUGGUGGAGGGGGUGGAGAUCCUGGCUGCUCUGUCACUGUUUAUGCCUGAGAUCAGUGAUGACGGUGACCCCCCUUCCUCUGAGCUCCUUCCACGACAUUUUAGGGGGGGCAUCUAGAAAUCAUUUUUGUGAUGGGAUGCUGUUGGCGGGGCAGAGGACUUCCUGGGUAAUUACAGCCAAAUAUAGACUUGCAGAUUUAAAAAAAAUGUAUUUUUUUGAAAAACAAUUUCAAAAACAAGUAAGUGAAAAAUAAACACUGGGACUCCUGUCGCGAGGUGAGCUGUGCAGGCUUCUGUCUCAGGUCCAACCCUCAGCUCGGUUUCAAAGACAGCCAAGGGAAAAAAAAAUACAACAAAAUCAAAGUCGGCGGGCCAUGAUUUCCCCAAUUUCUAAUGGGAAUACUCUGCAAUAGAAAUGAUAUUUCCAUUGAGGACUGCGCUGCCGGUUUCUUUAAUUACAUUAAAUAGCGGUAUAAACCUCAGCAGAACGUAAACCCCUGUUACAGCCGCGUGGCGAGCGAGGCUGGAUUGAAUCGUAAGGAGCAAUGUUACAGUGUUAAUGUGCUAACAAUCUUUAUUAAAUUAAUCCCGCGAAGUGUUAAUUUUUACAAAUUUUGUUGUGCACACACUGCACGUCACCUCUGGUGUGUUAGGAGAUGAAAAUGGAUUUCACGUCAAAAAAUAAGUAAGAAGGAGCGGCUGUCAGGCUGUGCCCUUAGAAGGAAAUUUGUGAUUUUUUUUUUUUUUGCCGUCAAAUGCUACCGCACUGAAAAGAAGGCUCAUAAUAUGUAUAUUAAAUGCCAUCUACAUACAGAAAACUCAGUUAAAGGAACUACUUGGUUGAAAGUAAUUACAGGCCUGUACAAUUUUUUAGUCAGUGACAUUUCAGACUUGGCUUAGAAACAGAAAGAGACCAUAGAAAGAUUUUGUGCUUACGUGAUGCAGGGCGUCAGGGCCUCGGUGUUCUACGUGUCCAUUAGGAAAAGGUAAAAGGAAAUGAAAGGGGAAAAAAAAGACUCAAUCGUCAACAAAAUCCAGGGAGAGCUAGAUUUUUUUUUUUUUUUUAGGUGGUAGUGGAGAUCAGUUGCUUCUGACUAAUAAAUACAAGUAAGAACAACAUGUGCAUUUAGCCUAGCAGCUCCCUAUGUUUACAAUUUGGUUUCUUUUCUUUUUUUCCCCCAACUUUCUAUUGACCAAGUUCCUUUCUAUGCUAUCUAAAAACAAGAAGCCCCUCUGGCCUCUUCCUGCCCAGGUAGGAUUUUAUGGCCCCUCUUUUUAAAAGGGCCAGUGGCGCUUGCAUUCCUCAAGCCCAGGGCUGCUCUGCACCUGCGCCCUCAGCAGCCCUCUGCCCUGGCUGCCCGGGUCACUCGGCAGCCUCCUUGAGGGGCACUCUGUUUCCAUUACGUUCUUUUUAUUGGCUGUACUGUGAUAUUUUCAUUCUUAAUUCCCCGGGAUUCUCACAGACCCGACUUCCUUCCCCCUUCUAUUUAUUCUCUUGCCUCCUUCGUGCGGUGCUUGAGCUAAAGCCAGUAUUGGAGUUUGUGGGACCUUGGAACCACAAUGACUUCCGGAGCACACCCGUUCUAAGGCAUGUUUCAUGAAGGACCUGAUUCUUAACAGAGUCGGGCUCGUGUUUCCAUGUUAUUCCCAUCAGGCACAGUGGCUGCUGGUGGGAAAGCAAAAGGUGUUCCUCAGAUGAAAACUCACGGUUGGCAUCAAAUCUGAAGAUUCAUUUCCUGGUUUAUUUCCCUCGUGUGACAUGUGACUUCUGUCUUCACUGUGGAUUUUUCUUCUAGCUCUAAAUGAGGGAAACAUCUGAGAGAUGCCUGGCAAGUUUGUCAUUGGAGUCUGGUCUCUAAGCUCCAUUUGAGAAAGUGGUGUGGGGGCCUGACCUCAAGUCCCAAAUUCUUCAUCUUAGAAUGCAAAAGAUGCAGCCAGCGUUUAAGUUCAGUGUGUAGACUGCAUCUUCAUCCAGCCGUGCUUCUUGCAGAUACUUGUAGUACACCAUUGGUCACUCUGGACACAUGCGGAGGUAAAAUUCACGCAGGCUUUUGGAUGAGUUUUAUUUGAGGGAUUGAGGGUAGGAGCUGCUAAAGAUUGAAUGCAGCAGCUACUCAGCUUCUGACCAGAAGGCCUAAAUCAGGGGAAGAAGGGGAAAUUCCUCUGCUAGAUACUGGGUAGAUUCAGAGAACCUAUCCACCCCAGUUUUGUCCUUGGCCCCUACAGACUCCAGGUGAUGCCUGCAGACACUUCCCUAUGUCCAUGUUGCUGAUAUAGAUGUGUUUCUUGUGUGCACAUAUAUGUGUAAUCUCUCGGUAUACUAUAGAUGCGCAUGCACACAUUUUUCUAACUUGGCAAACACAUGGCCUCACCCUCUGUUGUCCCCGGGCCUACCAAUUCCAGGAUCUUGGGCCCAGGUUGGUGGACCCUGCCUGCCACGGCCACCCCAGAGGAGUCCUGUUCUUUUUUCCACGUGCAUCCUAAAGCGGUGCUACACAGGCCUCAGCAUGGUUGGAGUUUAUUUGCAUUCCAGCUGCUCAGAGAGUUCCAGGGGUUUCCCCUGAAGGAAAGGAGUCCAAGCUGCAAAUUUCCUCCCUGCAGAUUCCGGUUUAGGGGUUGGAAGGUGAGCCCCAAAUAGCUGGUCACCUCCUCUGCCUCACCCUGAGUGGUUGGUUCUGCGUAGAUGGUCUGGGGGCACCCUUCCUACCCAGCAACCCCUGGAAUUUCCUCUGCUCUCUCCCUUGGGGGGCUCUUUUGGAAGGGCCAUGGCGAUACAGCUUUACCAAUUCUUGGCUCAGGGUGCAGAAAGGGUCUCUGCUGCCCCAGAGGAUUUCAGCAGCUUGCAUCUUGAGGAAAUUGGGGUUGGCAGCCAUUAAAGCAGGUGCUUCUGGACCCGGGAAAGGGGCGUGGCAGAUUCUAAUUGCAAGAAGCAGCUGCCCUGGCUGAUGGUUCCUUUUCCAAACCCUGGCGGAAGGAAGAAAACAGGUUUUGGUAGUGUUUUGGGGGGCAUGGUCUGUCCUUUGCCUCUCCUGUCUCCUUCCUUGGAUGCACUAAAUGGGCAGCAUGUUGGGGAGAGGAAAUAGUUGAAGUGGUGAUUCACCACGACAGAUUUCAGCAGUGCUGGAGGAGGGAGGAGCUACGAGGAGGCAGCCUCGCUUCCUGUCCAAGAGACCUGCUUCUUGCCUCUUCUGGGUGGCCAGAUCUUCUCAUGGCAGGUGUGCACACAGGGCUGUGGAUGGUUGGUGGUGUCUCAGAGUGGUCAUUUGAGAAGUGGUGGGAGAGAUGGCCUCAAGUUAGAGUUGAACAGAUGUGUGUUCCUGGAGGCCAUGACCUGCUGCCCUGCACUGGCAGUGGCCCUCUCUGAGUCCAGCUGGGCUGACUGUGGAUGAAGUUCAUAGGGCUCUUUCACCUGCAUCCAAAUUCCCACCCUCCCCAGCCACCUGUAAGGGCUACUGUCCUUCCGCCUGUAGAGGCCAAUCGUGGGUUUGAACGGUGCUUUUUAUGUCUCCUGUGUGAUGACCCUGGAGGGAGGAGCUCUGUAAGCACAUCUGUGCAAACCCUUGUGAAACCUCACUUUUUUGAUGUCCUUCCAAAGGACAUGUCCACAUUCACCCCCGAAACCAUAAUCUCUGACAGCCUGGGACUGGAGACCUGGGCUGGCCACUGGGCACUCGGGCAAAACAGUCAUAUUUGACUUAGAAUGAGAAUCCAGUGGGGAGAGGUGGGACUUGGGGAGCCCUGGCUUCGUGGGUAGAAUUUCUAGGUCUCCCAAUUGCUGUGGGGCAGUGAGUGGGCCAUGCACAUGCCCACUUGCCCUCUGCUCCUGUCUUGGAGACCUACCUCAUGGAAUUGAGGUAUUCCUUCUAUGUUUGAUGAUGAUGAUGAUGAUGAUGAUGAUGAUGUUAUUUUUUACAAUGAAAUGAAAUCAAGUUCCAGUGUUUGCUGGUUCCUGCACUUUGGGGUAAUCCCACUUAAGAAGCAGAGAAAUUUACUUGGUUGUAUGCCCCCACCCCCAGACUCCUGUAGGUCUGAAAUUGAGCAACAAAGAAAGUUCCUUAGAAUUAUUCUCUAUUCCUGCUGUUUGGGCUCCUCUUCCACCCUCCAACCACCGCCCCCCCUCCUGCAAAGAAAGGGAGAAAGACAUAAUGAUGGGAAGGUCGGGUCUUGUCGGGUGAGACCCUGUGCCUGUCUCAUUUAAGGUGGCACUCCACUUCUUUCGAAUAGGAAAUUGCCAAAAUGGAUGUCAUCGGCUGCUAAUUAGAUGUAUUUUAACUGCAGGAUCAUUUUACCAGCUAAUACUGUUAUUAUGUGCUUCAGUGUGAACCCAUGGUGGAGCUGUUACAAUAUGAGCACGAGGCCUUAGCAGACAGCUAAUGGAGGCUGCAGGGUCUGUGGUGGCACUUCCCCUUGGUGAUGGCUAGUGACAGUCUAUUUUUGGACCUAAAGAUGCCUGGGUCAGGCCCUGUGCUGAAGGUCUGAGUCCUUUUAACCUCUCAAGAUGAGCCAGGCUUUACUGAUGUCCACUUUCUUUCUGUGCUUAGAGAAGGGCCUGAGUCUGAGGAGGCCCUGAGAUUCCAGAUUGUGGACACCAGCGGUCACACACAGCUCUGUAGACUUAACUGCCCUCCCCCCCUGCCCCCCCAGUCUUUGGGCUUCUGGACCUGGCUAGGGGCAACAAAUGACCACAGGUUAUGUCAUGGCUGUGCCAAUUUAGGCUGAGCCCCCGGAACACAGUACCAAAGUAGGCAGACCUGCCUCUCGACAUGGGUUACAAACUGAGCUGGUUUCACCUCCAUCUUUUCUCUCUAGCAAACCGGAAAAAGAAUCCUAAUUUCCCUUCGGGGUGGGAGGAGGCGGGCUAGGAUUGGGAUAAUGAUUCUUAAAUAUGAGCAGUGUAUUUGACUUCAUGUUAUUUCUCCCUCCCCCCUUAAUACACAGCAUUUUUAUCAUCUUUAAGACAAAGUAGCUGGCAAAAUAUUUAAGUGAUCAGGAAGAAAUGUUUUUAUUUGCCCGCGUGUGAAUUGGGUUAUCUGCCUAUCUUGUUUAUGAAAUUUGGGGCUGCCUUUCCAGCACAGUAUGUUCGCCUCUCAAAUCUUUCCCGGCUCCCAUUUCCAUAUUUCUGCGUGCUUGUUCUUUGUUAAUCACUUGGCAAGCGCUUAUUUGAAUAUUAAAAAUUUCUUUAAUCAUCAAAGGCAGGAGCACAGUCUCAUGAAUAUUCAUAUUUUCCCCCCUCCUCAGACUGGAUUCUAGUUCAUUACCCUGCAGUAAAAGCCAAACAGCCAUCAAUCGCCCUCAUUACAGGCUCUGGCGUUUUGAUUGGCUGCCUGCUGCCCAGAGCUUUUUUUUUUUUUUUUAAAUUUUCUCCUUCUCCUAUGAGCUGACUUGUACCUGCCAACAACCACACCAAAAAAAAAAAAAAAAAAAAAUCAACAAUGCAAGAAUAAAUUUUUCUGGUUGAAAAACAACUUUGCAAACUUAUCAUACAGUCCUGUGGCUUGUUGCCGCCUUAGCGGCCACCAGCGCCUCCACCCUUCCCCCUUACCCUCCCCACCCCCCCCAAAAAAAAACCUAGGGAAAAAAGGGGGAGGGAAGAGAGAGAAAAUUAAAUAAAUAAAUAAAAAGGGAGAAACUUGAGCCUCAGAGAUGAAUAUUUGUCAAGAGAGUUGACGUAAGUUUCAUUUGCAUAAUGACUUUGUACUUCUGCAUUAAUAAAAUUUGCAUAUGAAGCCAUGUUAAUUACUCCUGAUCAUGCUUUUUGCAUUCAUGCAUAGUAAUUUUCUCCGACUUGUGAGAAUUAAUGUCUUGGCAUGGGGGGAGGGGGCGCGGGGACUGUCAGGUUCCCUUGCCAGUGUCCCUCGCUCACAUGCCUGGCUCCCUGUCUGUCUCCUUUGCUGAUCUAUGACUCAUUUCUGCACUAUCAGUAGGAGUUCUCGCCUUAAAAAACUGUAUCCGUUGAAAGGCACCAGUAGGGAGAAAAAUAGACCUCUCCCGCGCAGUGUAUUCCGGGCCACCUCUCUGGCUGGGGACGCGGCAUCUGCAGUCCUGCCAUCCCGGAGCGGCUGCUGCCACGGGACGCGGCGCUGGGCCGGGCUGGCUCCCCUCUCGCCGGGGUGGGGCGUUUCCAGGCGUUUUGUGUCUGCACGCUCAAGGUGGGCGUGUCGCCGCUAGUGCGCAUGUGUGAGGCUUGGAGCGGAGCAUCUGCAGGGCCCCGGGAGGGAGGAGGGCUGCAGACCCCUCGGAAUGCUUCGGGCCGGGAAGGCAUUGAAAUGAGCUCGCGCCCGAUGAUGCUGGAGCUUCGGAAGCAUUUUAGGGAGACUUUUUGGGUUAUCUUUUUGUACCAGAUACAGAGAGCCGGGUGGCAGUUUCUGGCCUUCCUAAGCCCAGUGCGUCUGGGCGCCUUCUUCAGUCUUUCCCAGCCUCAGUUUCCUCUUUUGUGAGAGUGGGAUAUGCUACCCCAUAGGAAGGCUCUGGGCUUGCUUGAGAUAACUCAGGUAUUAAUCGUUUAUUUAUUUUUCCUUAAUUAAAGUGAACUUCCAUGAUUUAAAAAUAAAUCAAGCCAGCCACGAUUUUAUUUAUAAGCCCCCUGGAUCCAACUUAAAACUGAGAUGGUGGCUUGGCAUCCCUAGGUGCAUGGAGGUCUGCUCAGAUUCCAAACGGGACCCAUGGACUGCAAAAGAAAUCAUUUUACAUUUUUAUUUACUCUCGUAAAGCUGGGGAUGGACUCCAGGGCUUCCAGGUUGCUGGGCAGGCCCACUAUCCCUGAGCCACACCUCCAGCCCCUGAAGGCUUUCUUUUUAAAACAGUGACUUGCAGGUCUUUGUAGGCUCCCUCCACCAGGCAGCUCCAGUGCUGUGAGAAACACCCUUGGGAGUAGGGAAAGUUCCAAAAUGGAAAACUAGAAAGGGAUCUGAUCAUUUAGUGGUCACUAAGACGGUGACUAAGUUUACCAGAUGUUUAAUUUUGGUUCAUGUUGUCCUGACCCUUUCAAAAUGAGGAAGCUGAGGCUCUGAGAAAGUGAUCACCUUAGGUCACGUGGCCAGGGGAUGGCAGAGGAAGGAUGUGAACCCAGGCUCUCUCCUGGCCCACCCCCCAGGCCGCUGCGCUGAGGUGCUCUUUACCCACAACUCCAGAUUUCCUGGCUGCACUUUUAAAGGCAAACACUCCUCCCUGUGGAAGGGCAGGGCUGGGAGGUGGCCUGGGACAGGUAUUGAGGCCUAGAGACAAUGGCCUCACCUUUGAUUUUUUUUUUUUUUUAAGAUUCUCUAAAUGUAGAAUUCACCAUUUUGUCUGUCAGUGGUUUUGAUUAUAUUUACAGUGUGUGCAGCCGUUACCACUGUCUGAUUGCAGAUAAUCUAAUUUAUACUCCUACACAGAAACCCUGCACCCAUUAGCUCCCAGCCCCCGGCAACCUGGACCUUCCGUCUCCAUUCAUUUGCCUGUUCUGGAUGUUUCCUAUCCAUGGAAUCAUAUGAUGGAUGGUUUCUUGCAUCACUUAACUUGUGCUGUAGCUGCAGAGGGGGCUUCUUGAAUCCCACCUUUGGGGAGAGUUGCAGUCUAAGCUGCCCCCAGGGACAUCCUCCUGCAUGGCAGAGGGUAGCCUAAGAGUCCCAGAGGCCCUCACUCUGCAGCCCGCUCUUUUGCUUCUUCUGAGCCACUCCUGAAGCAGGGGACUUCAGUGUGGUCAGCAUUCCUAAGGAGGCCCUGGGGUGCAGCCCCAACCCCGUGCAGAGCAUUGUGUUAUGGUAUGUGACCUGCGCUGACAGACUCUGGUCUAGCCCACUGCUGCCCUUUGCUUCCUUCUCCUUGGCUCUUCUGCUCGUCAGGGGAAUGGAGUCAGGUGGGUGUUAUCUGGGACAGCUGACUCCCAGGCUGCGAGGUGCUGCACAGCUGGGGUCAGUGCUGCUGGCUGUGUUGCCGUCUUGCCCAGAGCCCAGGAGCCAGAGUCUGGACUUGGCUCUUUACAGCUAUUGAUGGCUGGAUUGAGGUCAAGGACUCUUAGGCUUCCCUUCCCUUCCCUUGCUCUCAGGAUACCAGGUGUCCUGGUCCCUCCAUCCCAACUGCAGCCAGAGAGGGAAACAGAAGAUAUAGCUGGACUCAUGGUCCAGAGCUCCCCAAGCCUCAGGCCCCACGUAUUCCCACUUGCUGAACAGGUGGUUAGGGUAUACUCAGCACAAAGCCACUGUCAGGGCCACAGAGGGUCCAGAGCCCACCAUGGUCUGAGGGAGGUUCCAUGUAGGACUUAGAGGCCUGUAGUAGACAGGGUCAGAUGUACAAUGUCCAGUUCCAGGCUGGGGGUUCAGGCAAGAGCUGUCCAGGGCAGACUUUCGCAAGGAGGCAGGUGACACUGGCCUCAGAUGCAGACCUUUUUUGGUGCCUACACUAAAUCUGGGGCUUGACCUUCCUGUCAGCCUCUGGGGUUGGAACUGCUCAGGGGUUCCUUGGCCACGCCCUUCUGGGGCUGUGGCCAGUUCUGAGACAGCCGGGUGCUUGGGCUAGCCUAGUGCAAAGUCUUCAUGGGCCUGGGCAGUGUUGGCACUAGCUUUGUUUGUGGCCUCUUGGCAGGACAUAUUCAGAGUUCCCAAGCUUCAAGCUGGGGUUCUUCUCACAUGCCACGAAGACCCUUAUCCUGGAUUCACAUUUUAGACAAACAGAGCAUGUCAAAAAAGCGCUCUGGUUUUAGAGCCAGGCAGCAGGGUUUGAUGGGGUCAGUUGCUGGGAUCUGCAGCUUUCUGAGUCAUGGCCUCAGUUUCCUGGUCUGUGCAAUGGGUGUCCUAGGUCCAUGCCCACUGUGGCAUAUUAGGAGGCUCAGUCACAUGAAGACAGACAGGUUCCUGGUUUGCAGUCGGUGGCUGAGCCCAGUGGCUCUUCCUGGGAUGGGGGAGUCACACAUGGUGGCUGUGGAGUGGGCCAAUUCCCCUCAUGCAGACCUGUGCUGGGAGGUGAGGUGCUGUAGCCUCUCUGGCGAGCCGACUGGGCUCAGCUGCCCAUCAUCUCGUUGAUGUUUUCUUUUUGUCUCUCUGAUGCUUCCCUGCUCAAUUAUUUACCCAGGGAAUUUGGGCUUCUUCACUUGUGGUUUUGGCAAGGGCUUCACACAAAUGUUUUGCCCUGGUGGUCUCUUAGCCAUGUAAGAUAAACGGCCAAAUCAAACGCAGGCCUUGCCGGCAGCCCAGGCGAGCUGUAGGGCUGGGCGGAGGCGAGGCGGGCCCUGGCCGGGCCCUCCGAGUUGCUGUCAGACACUGGGGGUGGCGAGUGGGGGAAGCAGGGACUCCCAAGCCCGGGCUGAGACAUGAAGAGGGGUCUGGGCUGUGCCAGGUUUUCCUGAGGGUGGAGGGAGGAGGGAAUCGAAGCAACCCGGGCUUGGGUGCUGCUUGCGGGGGACUGGAGAGAGGCCUCAGCUAGUAGUUAGCUAGGCAGCUCGCUCCCCAGUGCCCAGCCCCUUCGAGGUGGACUUGAGGAGCCCAGGCCUGUCCUAAGAGCCCAUCGCGGUGUCAGACGGUGGCGGCUCCGGGCUUCCCAGUUCUUCCCGGGGUAGCCCAGAUUUGGGGGAAGAAAUCCCCAAUAGGAGCCUGCUCCAGUUUGCUACAGAAGACCCUUCCUGGAAGGGUCUUUCCUGGGAGUGGGGCCCUGACAGUCCCUAUGUGCCUUAGCCCCCUACACAAGGCCCCCAGAAGUGGGGUGUCAGUCCCUAGACCUGGCAGCUGUGGAUACAGGACUCUCUCCAGUGCCCCCUGCCCACUUCCCUGACCCCCUCUCCCCUCCCUGUGCCCUGGUCACCCUCCCUGCAGGGCCUGGCACCCCUGGGGCCUCCGGCCCUUGAAGGCUGGCUGCAGCCCUGCACCCCGGGCCCCCUCCCAUGCCCUAAGCCCCUUGUGCAGUCCAGGGCCCGACUGACCGGUCUUUUCUAUUGUUUUUUCUCCAGGGCCGUGCAGGCCUGCCCAGCUGCCAGCGAUGGCCCCCAUAGCUGCCUCCUCCCACCCUCACACAUCCGUGAUCACUCCACCUCUGCGCGCCCUGGGCGCUCUCCCGCCCUGCUUCCCGCUGCCCUGCUGCAGCGCACGCCCGGUCUCGGGCGACGGGACUCAGGGUGAGGGUCAGACGGAGGCUCCCUUUGGAUGCCAGUGUCAGUUGUCAGGUAACGAGGCCGCCGCGAUGGGGGGGUGGGCUCCCGGGGAUGGCGGGGUGUGCCCGGGCAGAGCAGGGGACCUAAGGUGGGACCCAGGGAGGAAGAGCAACCCUCACCCAAAAGGCAUUUUUGGGGUGCUCUGGGAAGCGGUGAAGGAUGUCCACAGAACUGUAAACCCGUGACUGGUCCCCAUGGGUCAGGAGGUCCCUCCACCCCUGUUCCCCCCACUCCCAGAAUGCAUUGCCCAGCCUCCAAAUUUCAUCUCUUUGGGCUGUUUAGCUAAAGCUUAAUUGGAUAACGCUUAACAUCUGAGGUUUUCUUCUGCCCCUGCCUCUGCUCCCCCGCCCCCCUGCCGCCCUGACGAGGCCGGGAGAUUCCUUGGUUGUCUGUGUGCAUCGCCGGAGCCAUCUGAAAUGCUGAAUUUCUCUUUGGGACAAUGUGUUGCCCAUUAACUUAGAGGGAAAAAAAAAGUUGCUCAAAAGGAGCCUUUUAAAAAUCUGUGGCCACGGGAGGGAGUGAAACAUUCUGGGGGCGGGUGUGGGCAGGGACAGGGGCCUGGCUCUGGGCGGACCUCAGACCUUCACAUCUGUGCUUGCCCCCGCUCCCCCUGCUCCCCUGGGAGGCCAUGUGGCUGCCCAUAACGCAGACGGGCAGGCAGGGCAGCAAGGCGACGCUCGGCCUCCGCCUCCUCCCCACUCUCUCCCCAAAGAGAACCCAAAGUCCUGUGGCCUGGGUUCCCCAGAAGCUCGCGGGCGGAGGGCGCUCACUGCAGCUCUAGCAGGCCUGGUGUGCAGUGCGCGAUAGCUGCGUGAGCCAGGAUGCUGACACAGACUCACGUGGCCAUGGCUGUGGCCUGGUUUCCGUGGCAGGGGCUGGAAAGGAGAGGGUGGCUGCAGAGCUGGGGCAGAUUCAAUUUGUUCCUGCCCCGUCACCAGGCACACUGCAGGCUUUCUCUUGACUCAAGAUGUCAAAGGAAGACUUUGUAUUGAGCAGGUUUUGCUUUUCAUUGAUGCUGUCCCAAGGGACAGUCCUUGGUGGAGCAUGAACUUUGCAAAUGGCCCCUGCUAGCCUCUGCUCCAGGGCAGGAACUCCUGGCCUUCCUGCUGGUGGGGUGGCCCGCAGCCUUCAGUGCCACCCUGCUGUGACGGGUGAUGACAUCAUAGGAUCUGGCUUCCAGGGGGAAGUUCUGGUUUUUUAUUGGGCUUGUGCCUUAAAUGCUCAAAGAUCAGAAUCACCCGGGAAGGAGUUGGAACUACUUGUAAAGAAGCUGGCUGCCUGUCUGGGGCUGCUUGUUCCCCAGGGUGGUUGGGGCUCCUGUACUGGCUUGGUUGUCGAUUGCUCUGUGAGUCUGGGGAGGACCUUUUGGCCCAGCAAGGGUUGUCUGCUCUGUCUGGGUGGCUGCCCCACUCUCAUGGCUUCCUGUAAUUAGUGCAGCAGCCCUGCAGCCCUGCAGCCACUGGGGGGGCCACGCUAUCAAAGAUCAGCUUGAGUGUUUACGACUGGACUCGGUCAAGUUCUGCAUGUAGAAACACGAUCUCCUCGCCAGAGGCGCACCCGAGUUUGCUUAACCCUCUGUUGGCUCCGGCCCUCCUUAGAAGCUGCCAGAGUGGAGGAGAGUUAGCCACGGGACCGGGCACCUCCCUGACAGGGUGGGCUCUCCUGGCAGCUUUGUGGAGUGCCAGGCAGGAGCCACUGCAGUCCAGUUGUGCAGAUGGGGGUGGAGGUGGGGGCAAAGUCUGGGAGGGCAUGUGGCUGGGCCAAGGCUGCAGGACUGGGAUUUGUCUCUGGGAGGCCUCCUGAGCAGGCCACCUCUCUUCCCAGGGAGCCACACUGCCUCUGCCUCUGUGCAGUGGAGGAUGAGCAAGGUUUGCCCGGCCUGACUCCCUGUGAACUCUGCCAUCAUCUGUCCCCACAUACUCUACUGGGCUCCUGAUAAGGGCCAUGCCUAGCGUGGGCACUGCCUGACACCAGACAUUUGCGUGCGUUCUUGAACGCAGUCCUCACAGCAGGCUCACACUUUACUCCCCCACUUUAUGGAUGAGCCUUGGAGACGUGGUGGUCUCACGGCUCACAUGCACCCGCUCAUUCUUCAGCCAAAAGCCAUCUCUUGGGCACCUGCUUUUAGGCACCCUGCAAAUAGAGUGUGGGCUCCUGCCCGCCUGCAGCUUGUAUUCUGCUGCGGGGAAGAAGGUAUGGGGUGAGAACCUGAAGUAAGAGUGGUGGGAAGGUGGGAGAGCAGGCAGCGAGGAAGUCGCCCCUGUCCAGCACCCGCCUCGUCAGUGGCCUGGGCGCAUCUCUGGAUUUUAGGGCUUCAGAAGUUCCAGGGCUCUGGCCUGUGAGCAAUGCCAUGCUUGGGGAGAAGAGUGGGCAAGGGUGAGGCACUGUUCCUGGGGUUGGGACCACAGUGGUCAGCUCCUGGGCGUUUCGGGAGCCACCCCUGAGGGGCCUGCUCUAGCUUCCCACCCUCUGCUCCACACUCUAUGCUUUUCUCGUUCUUCUUUUGGUCUCUGCUUAUUAGCCUGCACCAGAGUGGACUGUCAUAUUAGCCUGCACCAGAGUGGACUGUCGUCAUAUUAGCCUGCACCAGAGUGGACUGUCAUAUUAGCCUGCACCAGAGUGGACUGUCAUAUUAGCCUGCACCAGAGAGGACUGUCAUAUUUGCUGAUCAAUUUCAAUACCUGAAAAUAUCCCAUUCCAGUGGUUCUUGUCCCUUUGUGGUUUCUGUCCCUGUGACUGGGCUGUUGAAGUGUUUUUAGUGCCUGUUUAAUUAGUAGCUGGAAGGGAGUCGUUCAAUUCCCAGUAACGGUUAGGAGGAAGCAGUCCGCUGUACCAAUGGAGCGGGGCUGCCGUUCUCACUUUGUUUUGUCCCUUUUUGGAUGAGGAUGCGUUGAACCCAUCUCUUGAAAUCAAUAGGGCAAGCCCCUGUGCAAAUGUGUCGUACACAGGUUAACUGUGUGCUGUAAAUGCACUCUCGGUUAUUUAUAGAAGGUGUGAGUCUGUGGGGGGAAGCGUACAGGUGUGGUUCACCUCCAUCCCAGUGUCCCAGAAGCUCUGUCCCCCACUCUGGGCCUCCUACGGUGGUCGCAGUGGGAAGCAGGGACUCUGGGCCUGUUUCCUGUGGACUCUGCUGUUGUAAUGUGGGGCUCUGAGCUGAGGCCCUGCUGGGGCUCAAAAACCUUCCCUGAGAAAUUCCAAGUGAAGGCUGCGGGGCACCUGUGGUCCUGUCUGGUCAGUGGACUUGAAGAUGUCAUUGCUCCUCUUUGAGCCUUGUUUUUUUUUUAAAUACCCCCCCCCCCACACACAUAUAUACAUUCACAUAGACAUUUUCAUGUUGUUCUCUGAAGCAGAUCACUGGGGGCUGCAUGGGGCUUGGUGGGGGUUCCACGAUGGAUAUGGGGGCAGAGGGUGGGAAGUAAGAGCAAGCCCCUCAGAAAUGGCUCCUGGAAAGGUCCAGGGGGACUGACCACUAUAGUCUCCUCCCCAGGACUCAGGAGGCCACUGAAGAUUGCUGGGCUUCCCCUUCCCCCCAGCACUUCUCUGUUCUGAGGUUUCUGUGAUUGGAAGGUGGUCAUCAGAGCGUAUCAGAUUUCUGGGGGGUGCAGUGUGAACUGGGUGGCCUCAGAUGGGCCAUGGUCCUUCUCCUUUCCUCCAUUUCCCCAUCUGUGAAUUGGGGGUAAUAUUAGCUCCUGGGGUUGAUCCUAGGAUUGCCUGGGGUCACAUAGGCCAGGUGCUGAGUGUGAGAACAGUGCCUUGUGCUGAGCGGACCCACAGGAGCAGAAGGGCUUCCUACUUGGCAGUGCUGGGUGCCUGGCACUGUGCGGAGGUCCUCUCAAGCUGCGUGCCUGGCAUCACACUUAAAGGUAUUGAGCGCCUUGGCUGCCGCAGAUCAUGCACCAGCAUUAGGAGGCGAAAAAGGAACGCAGACACUUCAUUGCAUAUUUAAAGGCUGCAAAUGGUCAUCAGCCACAGUGAUUAAUACAUGCGCUUGGAGAAGUUCAAGGUCUCAUGCAAGAACACACAGGAUCCCGGCUCGGGGAAGUGGAAGUGUUUGGAUUUAAUAGAGGGAGUCAGUUGCAGUCAUUAGUAUAUGCUGAAAUCACAGGGCAAUCUUGUAAAGUUAAAUUCAAUUUACUUUUCUACUGAAAUUGUGCUUGCUGUGUUAUUUAACUAGUCUGGGGUUUCUUGGCAUGGGUUAAAGGGACAAUAAAGAUAAAAGAAUACCUGUAAGUAAAUAGUAGGGUUGAACAGUAGAAUCUAUCGUUUUCUCCUCCUUCAAUUAUAUCCCAGCGUUCCUUCUGUGUCGGUUUUAUAACCGGAGCCGUCCAAUGGGAGGCCGUGGAUUAGACCACCCUCGCUGCAAAGGCCUGAUGCAAUUAAUACAGUCUGUCUGGAAAGUGGCCUUAUUUCUGGAAGUUUUAUGUUAAUGAUAUGGUCUGCGCUUUGCACAUUUCAUACCAGAACAAGAAGCAAGCUGGAGUUGCUUUCUGAACUGGGUUUGAUUAACAGCGGAGGAUCCAUGUGCAACCCAGCAGCGAUGCGGACAGACGGCCACCUCCCCGAGCCCCCGCUGAUGCUCAGCAGGGCUGCAGUGGGCACUAGGGUCUCCUUUGGGACUCUGGAGGGAGGGGUGAGUACGGCGUGAAGAAGAGAAGGGAGGCUGUGGACGGACCUCUUUCCGGUUGGUGCCCUGGGACUGGCUCCCUUGCACAGUAGCCGUCUUUAGGGUCGUCCAGGUCCCAGGGUCAGUGGGGUUGGCUUCUGGUAGAUAAAGCGCUCUCCGGGAGUUUUACAGAUUCAGAGUCAUCUGCACGCCUACGUUGCCCAAGGGGCCGCCGCUCCCAGCACUCAGGAUCCAGCAUUCACCGCGUCCCCGAGAGUCCUUCCUGCCAGUUCCUGGAUUCCGCGCUGGCGUGUGUCCUCUUGGGAUGCUCUGCUGAGAGGUCUUCCUCCACCGCCUGCCUGGCAACCAGGCGCCACCCUCGGCCACUGGAGGAAGUGCCUGGAGCGCCACGGAGAACUGUAGGAAGCCCAUUCUCCGGGGCCUUGUAGGUGGCCGAGAGUGACAAGGGGCUUUAGUGGACUCCUGAAAAGUCCCCCGUCCAGUGUAGCUGGAAAAUCACGUCUCCAGGGGCCAAAGGGGCCAGGAGUGGGACCAGCCGAAGGACUCCUACAGGGGUGACCAUCCUUAGAUAAAAGGUCCUAGCCACGCCCGGAGGAGACCCACUGUCGCAGCCUGACACAGACCGUCUCAGUCCCCGCGCCGGCCCUUACGAUGUUCUGCAGGCAGAGCUAAAUCAAAGAAUUCUGUUCAAAUCCAUACAAGAUGUUGCUGUUUUUCUGCUCUGACGGGAGAGGCAUUUGGAAGUGCAGUUUCUUUCUAUCUUUCUUCCUGUUUUUUUUAUAGCUGUCUUAAAAAGGAGUUUGGCUGUUUAGCACAGCUGGUGCUCAUUACAUUAUGCACUGGCAAUAAAAUAGCAUGUGUAAUUAAUUUUUAAUGCAGCGCUGGAUGCAGUGCUUUCAAGCACUUAGUGGAUGUGAAGAAGCAGCACUGGCCCGACACGAGAGACCUCGGAGCAAGGCGGCCGCUGCUCCCUUGCAGGGGAUUUGAAAGUGGUGGAGGAGCCUGGGCGCUGCUCUCCAUGUGUAGCUGACUGGCCAGAAGUGGCUUUGCCCUGGGUGACCCGAGGCUGCAGUCUUCAACCAUCCCACAUCAGGCGAGGUCGCCUCAUGCAGGCCCGUCAUUGGAUAGAUGGGGGAAGCUGAGGCACACAGGGGGACACAUGCCACAAGAUGUGGGUGGUCAGGCUGACUCAGACCUAGGUCGCUCAGGCGCCACCCACCAGGCCACACUGCCUCUUUUGAGUUCACAUUGAAAACCACAAAGGACAUCUGUCACUAGGGGAAGCUGUGGAAAAACUCCUCCCUACCUUCUCACCGCGAGGCUCCGUGUGAAGCCUGCAACUGGACGUGGCAGGUGGACAUGUUACAGUGAGGAGCCCCAUGUGUGGCCCCUGGGGCUCAGCUUUGCUGUCUGACGUGGGAAGGUCCUCUCUGCGUCCUGUGUGUGUGCCUUGGUUGCUGGCUGCCAUGUCCUCAGGGCUCUGUGGCAUGGGUGUCAUGCCAGGGUUGUCAUGCACCUGUGUUAGGGGGAGCGCUCCAGGGAGUGGGAAGCUCCAGAGGUGGGCCCGUCCUUGGUCUCGGUUCUCAGAGUGAUUGGGGGUGAGUGUGGGACGCGAGCCAGCCACUUGCUGUCUCUAAGCCCCAGUUUUCUCACCUGCAGAACGGGGACACCCGAAGUAUCUGCACGUCAUCCCUGUGUUUGUGGCCUCAGCUGUUGCCAGGGUGAAGGAGCGGGAGAGGGCAAGCAGUGUUGAGAAGCAGGGCCAUACUGUGACCUCGGGGACCUGCCCCCAAUGACAAGUCUGCCAACCGAGUCCCUUGCCUGCACUUUCUUAGUAGGGGAGGAAGGACCACUAUUAUCUGUAUUCCUAGGGCUUGCUGCUGUUUCCUAAAGAACCUACUAUGUGUCCUUAUUGCCUGGACACCGUAUCCCGUUCUCAUCUUGCCCCAAGAAGAGAGAGCCCCCUACUUUGCCCAGGAGGACACUGGGCUCAGAGAGGCCAAACAACCUACUUGAGGUCACAGAGCACACAAAGGGUAGAACCGAGAUUCCAACUCAGGUCAGCUUUGCCUCAGUGUGCUCCUGGCUGUCCCUUCCCACUUCCUGGGGGCUGCAUUGGCCACUUGGACAUGGACAAUAGAGAUGGAACUGGCCAGCGGGAAACCAGAUCACAUGAGAACAUCCUGGGUGGACCCAAGGUUCCUUCAUUUCGCUGGUCGUGCCUGUGCCUGACCCCUGGCUAGAAGUGGGGGAUGCAGAAGUGAGAGAGGGGGGGGUCUUUGCCAGGCCCUUGCCCUGGAGGGGCCCACAGUGGGGAGAGCACCUCUCUGGAGCCUUGUUGUGCCAUGAUGUGAGACACGUGCUCCCUGGUGCCUUUCUGUAUCUAAAAAGAAUAAACAAAUGGACGAAGUUCAUGGGAGGGAGUGGGGAGGGCCCCAGGAGACAGCUGUGUUUUACUCCUCUGGAAGGUGAGCUGGGUCAGGGAGAGUGUGGUCAGUGACAGACGCCUGGUCCAGGAUGUCUUACUGGAAGGCUCCCUCUGGCCCAAGUCACCUCCAUCUCUGCCUGGCUGGACUUAUGGGGAAACAGAGUCACGGACCCUGAGACCACCAGGAGGAACUUUGGACUCAGAGUGAAGCCUGGGACUGCACGAGGUUUUCCUAUCAAAGUGCCCUCAAAGUGGGUUUCUGGGAUUGGAGUGGGAGUCAGGGCCUUGGCCACAGGUCCUACCAGCCUGCAUGGGCUGGCUCAGCACCCUUCCUCCAGGGUGCAUUGGGGCCGGGGCCUGUGGGUGCCUGGGCUGUACUGAUGGUGUCCAGGGAGACCCUGCAAAGGGUGUGUCUGCAUCUGUGAGAGAAAGAAAGGCCCUCAGCGCCAUUCUCUACAGAGAACCCACCUCCCUGUCGCCGUAGAAUCAACUUCUCUGCACCUGAGAGGAGCCAGGUUUAUGUCCUGAAGAAGCUUGAGGUGUUCUUUGCGUGUUUUUGGUGAGGGGAACAGUAUGUCCUUGACUUUGCAAACCCCGAGGGCAGGGUAGGGGUGGAGGGGCUGUGUGCUGUACACAUUUCACAAUCCAAUCCAAAUAGUCUUAACCAUGAAAUAGAGUUCAUCCAAACAUAAUCAAGGUAGGCCAAUGUCCUCCACAAAGCAGCAGGAAGAAACCAUGGUGGGCAGGGGCCCCUCUGUGAGGGGGCUCCGAAGACCCCAUUAGGCCUCAGGAGGAUCAUGGCCUGACCCUCACCGCGGCCACCUAUGUGGACUUUAUUUAAUAAUGGCUGAGAAUGGGUGGCGGUGACCUCAGUGUGUGGUCAGAGGCAGGUGAAGCAUCAGCCUUGAUUUUCUUUCCCAUCUAGGUCCUUCUUGCACUUGGCAAUGGGGCUACCAGGUUGUAGCCAGGCCAUUUCUACAAGCCCACUCUGUGCCGAGCCCUGGGCAGCGGCCUUCUGAGCUCUGAACCUAGGUGUCCUCUUUUCGGGGGCAGCCUCUUCUGUACUCCACAGGUGAGGAGGCUGAUGUCCCCAGGUGUCCCUGCUUGCUCGGUAAAGUGCAGCUGGUAGGCAGCAGAGCUGGGGUUGCCGCCCAGGGCACUUUGGGCCUGGGGCCUGCUGCCCCUCCCGCUGGACUUCACCUGGCAGGUAUGAGUCGGGGCGGCCGAGGCAGAGGUUUGAGCCAGUGAGUCAUGGAGCUGCCAAGGGCCAGCCGGCCGCACCCUAGGUAGUACGAACGCCUGCGUUUUAUGGCUUCAACAGAGGGUCAGAGGACACGGGACUUCUCCACAGAGGUUAAGGCAAAAACGGAGUCGCUCUCUGCAGGAACAGGGGCAGUUGGAAUCUUUCCAUAAACUGGACAUUUUAAAUUAUUGCCUUUGUUAAUAAGAGGUGAGGGAUGACUGGCAGGCGAGGUCUGCCCCUCCCUACCUCCCGGGGUACCUCUCUGCUCUGGGUGCUGUGUUUAGCCAGUUCUUUCUGACUCCGGUUGUUUUGCUCUGAAUUUCUCCUGUGUUAUUAACCAGCUCAUCGACUCUCGAUUUACCCAUGAACGAAACCAGUGAUGGAGGACCCACUAUGUGCCAUAGGCUAGAUGGGCGGUAUCUCCCUUGAGUCUGAUACUAGCAUAGCAUUGUGGGAUUGGGGCUUUUUAAAAUAUACAGAGGACUUACAGUUCUAACCAUCUUAAGGGUGCAGUUGAGUGGCCUUAGGUACACUGCAGUUGUUACCCAACUGUCACUACCAUCCUUCCCAAACAGAACUCUGUCCCCCUUAAGCUGCAGCUCUGCCCUUGCAUCUUCCAUGUUACUUCCUGUUUCUAUGAAAGUGACUGCUCCAGGGACCUCACAAAAGUGGAAUCACAUGGCCUUUGUCCUUAUGUGGCUGGCUCAUUGCACCCACCAUCAUGUCCUCAAGGGUCAGCCACGUGGCAGCAGGUGACAGGAUUUCCUUCCUAUGUAAGGCUGAAUCCUGUCCCUGGGCAGAUGGACCAUGUUUUCUCCUCUAUUCGCCCAUCAGGGAGCGCUCGGGCCACCGCUGCUUCUUGAGUACAGUGGACGAUGCUCCUCUGGGUGUCCGAAUGUCUCUCUGAGGCCCCACUUUUAGGAUCUUUUGGGCUAAUCUUCAUCAUUAUGAUUGCUGGAUCAUAUGGGGAUGGGUUUUCCUUUUUGAGGACUAGUCAAACUGUUCCCACAAUGGCUGUGCCAUUUUACACCCCCACCCCAUAGUGCACAGGGUUCUGGUUGCUGGACUUUAGCCCUGAGGACACUGUCUCUCAAGGCUGUGGGCAACAGCUGGACCAAGCUUCGUGGUAAUAAGCCUGAAAGUGUGGACUGGCACCCGGGCCCCUCUGGCCCGGACUUGGCGCCUGCAGCUGCUGCCUCCUUCACUGUUUUGAGUGUAGCACCCCAGUUUCACGUACUGUUCCCCAUGACAGCCUUGUCUCCCAGGACAAGGUUUUAGCAGUCAGCUAAACCUUUACCUAACUUGAGAGUUUGGGGAAGAAAAUUCUACGAAUGGGCAAGUUCCCUUCUGCCUGGUCCUCAGGGCAAGGAUCUGACAGAGUGGCUUAGCAGAGAGAGAGCCCUGUAUUUAGAAGCAGUGCCCCUGGGGGCUGGGAAGGCUCUCCAGGUGUCCCAAGGCACGCUCUGCCCCUCUUUGAGCCUCCUGGGAGGGGGUCCCUGUCUCAGUGGAAUCCUCCUGCUGGCCUCGCUUUCCUGGCUAUGAGCGAGGACUGGAGAGUGGAGUUCCGGGUGUGGCCCUGGGUCCUUCGUAGAUGGGAGAAGGUAGUUGUGAGGCUGAUGAUUUGGGCUGUGAUUUCUGUCUCCCUCCAUGAGGGGCCCAGGCAGUGGCCUGCCUGUAGCAAAUGAACACAAACCAGGUGGCUUUUACCUACAAAAUCUGUUCUCUUACAGUAGAGGAGCCGCAGGUUCAAGAUCAAAGUGUUGGCCCACUUCAGAGUUCCUGGGAGGGUCCUUCUGGCUUCGUCCAGCAUCUGGUGGCUGCAGGUGUCCUUGGCUGGUGUCCACAAUGCCCCAUCCCUGCCUCCGUGGUCACCUGGCACCCUCUGCAGGGUUGUCUUCUCUUCUGGACGAUGAAGUGAACGGGGACCCCCUAGAUCAUCCAGGGGGAUUUAAUCUUUAGCCUAAUUAGAGCUGCAAAGGCCCCUUUUCCAGCAAGCUCAGAUCACAGGUCCCCUGAUCAGGUGUGCACAUAUCAUUUCAGGGGCCACCAAUCAGCCCUGUACGUGCCCUUGCUGGCUCAUAGGCCCCGCAGGCCAGGAACCCCAGUUUGGUCUCCUCUGGAACUCCUACAGCCUGGGACAGGUUCAGGAUUGGGACAGGUUCAGGUACCCCCCAGAUGUCUCCUGCAUGGAACCCAGAAUCGGUCUCUGACGAGGUGGCCACAUGUGCCUUUUUUGCUCAGGAACUUAGUGAUUCUCAGAUACCUGGCACCUCUGGCCAGCCCUCAAGCGCCAUAGUCACAGAAGGCUGUGUGGUCACAUCUGGCCCCCCCAGCCCUGUCCCUGUGCCAAGUGGGAGUGCAGUUACAAACAAGAGGGGGAUGGUUUAAAAAAAUGAUUGUUAUGAGAAAAAUUAACAGAGUUGAAUAGAAGCUAAAAAUAGCUAGACCCAUACUUGCCUAUAAUCUAUUUUUUUUUUUUUAAAGAAAACACAAUUAUUUUUGUAAACCAGUUCUGAGAAGCCGGGGAUAUUUAUAGCCUGCAUCUUCUAAGACGUUCGUUGUGCCUCAUCUCAGGAAGAGCAGCCUGGAACCCACCGGUGUGUGGUGAUGUCACCAUGUUGGGUGACAGAGCUCGCCCGAGGCCUGCAGAGUAGGAGUGGCUAGUAGCAGGGCCCAAGGUUAGGGAGCCCAGUCUUUGGUCCCAGUCUGCCGAGUGUCUGUGUGAUGAGACCAUUCAUGAGUGGCCUGACUGUGGCCUUCGUGGAUGCUGGUGGCCUGGGAUGUCCUGGCCAUGCCUGGGCAGGUAGCUGGUAACGUCGGAGAGUGGCAGCAGGCUCAUCUCUGGGCAGGGGGUGGAGGGUUCCCUGGGGUGAGUCUGACCUGACCACCCCAGGAUGAUCUGGGGCUGAGCAGAGCUGCGGGGAAUAACCAGGAUGGAGGGGUGCGUCCCAGGCUCAUCCAGGGAAAGGUUGCCUCCUGUGAUCUUCUCCCUGGCUUUUCCCAUUGCCUCUGCCAGAGACCUCAGGCCUGGCACAGACUCCAAAAUAAAAGGCCCUGUGUGUUCAUCUGUGCAUGUGUGCAUUUGUGGGGGGGGGGGGAGGUGGGUGCGUGUGUGUGUGUGUGUGUGUGCACGUCUGUGUGUAUUUAUGCUGGUGUGUGUGUAUGAAUGUGUAUGCAUAGGUACAUAUGUAUGCUGGUGUGUGUGCAUGUCUGUGCAUGUAUGUACAUGGACAUGUAUUUAUGAUGUGUGUGUGUAUUUAUGCUGAUGUGUGUGUGUGUGUGGGUCUGUGCAUGUAUGUAUGUGGAUACGUAUUUGUGUGUAUGUAUAUGUCUGUGUAUAUUUAUGAUGGGGUGUGUGUGUAUUUAUGUUGGUGUGUGUGUGUAUUUAUGUUGGUGUGUGUGUGUGUGUACUGAUGCUGGGGUAUGUGUGUGUUCGCGUGUGUACCCUGCGAAGAGUGUUGAGGGGAACCCUCAGCACCUUGCGGGUCUCUCCCACCACUGCCUGCUGCUGGGUGUCCACUUUUGAUCAGCCCACCCCAGUCUGGUGACUUUUCUGGGAUUGUGGCCUGCCUUUAUUUUUGCACUGAGGCCUGCGGAAGCCUUUGGGGGCAGGUCUCUCUCUGGAGAGGACUCCCCUUCUGGAGGAGACUGAGCCCCCACUGCACUCCAGUCUCAGGGAGCCCAGUCUUGCAGAUUGUGGCCGGUCCAGCAUGUGGCCAGCCCAGGAGGGUGUGUGAGGACCAUGGAUGUGGGUGGCUGGUCCCCUCCCCGCUGUGAUGUUGAUGUGCCCUCUGGCCUCAGGCAGGUAGCCUGGGCUAAGGAGCCUCAGUUUCCUCAUCUGUAAAGUGAGGACAGUGCCAGCGAGUGGGAUGGUUGGCAAUGACAAAGGGACACGUGGCUUCUGCUGUGGGCUUCAUCUGGGUGUCCACACCUCCAUUCUGUGGGGAAGGCGGUGCUGUCAGGGGAUGGGGGUGGCGAGUUCCAGAGCCCUCCCUGCAUUAUUCUGAGAACCCCUCCCUGUUAGCUCGGACCGUCCUGGGCAGUAGCUGGUCUCUGGACGGUGGCAGCCUUACUGUUAUGCUUUUGUUGUUGUUGCCGUCUUCCCCUUCUGGCCCUCGCCGUCGGGUGGGGGGUACUGCAGCCUGCCCGCAGCCCCGCCCUCUGUUGCCGCCUCUGACAGCCCUGGCUUCUGGGGGCCCUAUCUGUCCUUCCCGUGCUGCUCUCACCUCCCUCGCCUCCUCUCCUGUUUGGGGCUUGUAUCCUGAGGUCUCAGAGGGUCUUUCUCCUGUAAUUGAGAUAAUGAACACAGUUUUUCCAGGACGGCUGCACUAAAAGUCAAGUGCAAAGUGGUGGUUUUCAUUUAUCUUUCCUCUCUGCCCCUCUGCCUCCUCUCUCUUACUAUACAUCUCUUUACGAAGGGAUUGGCUGAGAGCAAACAGCUAAUAACCUAUGGAUUUAUGGAGCCGGGCGAGCCGGCUUAAUAAGCUUUGAUACCUGGAAUCCGCGUCCUGUCUCUUUAAGUUGAAACUCCGACUUGCCUUGGUAUUUUACAGUGCCUGGUUUCAUUUACGCCGGAGCCAGACUUACUAUGUGAGAGUCGUCCGCUUGCUGGAAUUAGUCUUAAGCUUGCUUCUGUGGCGUUGCCAAAUUCCAUGUUUGUGUUUUAUUUAGAAUUCUUUUCACGGCCAGCCGAUUCUGUGCCGACACACACAGGCUCUGUUGCGCCCCACGGAGAAAAUAAGCAAGCUUGCGUUUCCUUUGGCAGAGGCCGCGGCCACAAUAGACUGCGGUCUCUGAAACAUUUUUUAAAAGCUAUUUUAACCCAUAACAGAUGCAUAAAGUCGGCUCAGGCAUGCCAGUUUUCUUAGUUUUAAUUAAAAAAUAAUUACAGUCUAAUGGGAUGUUAGUGACACAUUUGGAUGAAUGGUGGGUGACAUUAUCUGCAACUUAUAAAUUAGUGCCUCUCCCUUGGCCGGGGCAGGGGUGGGGGAGAAUGAGGGAGGGGGAAUUGGGAUAUUUGUUCUUAAUUGCAGGGUGGGGGCUGGGGGGUGGUUGGGGCUGUGCUGGGGACAGAGGGUCUGAUCGGAGGCCUUGGUGAAUGGUCCCCGGUGCUCAGAAGAGAUUUCCCGCUGUGGCUCCAGGUAACAGGUAUCUCGAGCAUCCUCUAUCCCUGGGUGAUCCACGGAAACUCCCUCACAGAGCUCUUCAGGCAUGUGAUGGGGUUCCCUGGGUCCUGCAGGCUCCAGCCAGCACUUGAUGCUUGGCACCCAUGAUCCCUCCCUGCUUUAGGGGGGCUGGAAGCUCAGCACCUGGGACCUGCUGGGGGCCUGUGUCAAUAAGAGCAAGAGGCAGAAAAAUAGCAUCUUGCCAGGUCCUGGGCUUACAUGAAGCCUGGUCCCAGGGUUGAGUUUUUAUGUGAAACUCCCAUUCAUUGGAGCCCUGAGUGGGAAGAGGGGGGCUGAAGGCCCUGGGAGGCAGAGUCUCUGCAGGGUGAGCUAGGAACAGGCGGCAGGGUGGGGUGGGACAUGGGGGAGCGUCUGUGACAUUUUAUCUCCUCGGCAGGUAACCCAGGCAGGUAAAGUUAUCUCCGUCAAUUAGGCAGCUGAUAAGUGGUGACUCCUGAGCCCAGGUUCCACCUGCCUCUGCUGGGUCUGGGGAACAGGCCUUGGCAAGAGGGAGGACCUGAUGUCCUGGGGCUCAGUCUCCUGGGCCCUGUUCCCUCUCCAGCCAGCCCUGCUAGGGAGAGGAGCGCUGGAGGGUCUCUCUUCAACUGGCACCAGGAGCUGCGUCAUCUGGGGCCUUCCAGGAUCAGGAGAAAGUGUCCCCCUAUGCCUGGUGUGGGUGUGUGCCUGGUGGGGUGCAGCCCAAGUGUGCCCCAGAGAGGACAUGAGGCUUGUGUCAGGCCAGCACACUGAGCAAGGACCUGUCCAGCUGACUUCAGAGCCCAUACUUCCCCUCUGGAAUCCUGCAGUCUGUCCCAGCUGAUGGUGGACACACCCUGUGGCUCAUGGCCCAGCUUGGGAGACCAGGCACUGGCUGGGGGAGCCUUUAUUUUUACUUUUGGGGUGGUGGCUCUUACUGCUGUCCGUGGAGUAAAAUGAACAUUUCUUAGACAAUGUUUCCCUGAGCCCAGAUUCCUCACAAGUGAAAAUUAAGUUCUUCUAUUAAAAACAUGAGUCAUACCAGCCCAGAUGAGAGUUGUUUUGGCGUUCCUCGAAUUUUUGGAAGGGAAACAUCGCAUUCAUGUUAAUCCUUUCAAUUAUACCUCCUUCCUGAAUAAUCCGCAGGGCGCUCGGUAUCGCCGCCCUCUGCCAUCGACUGCAGUCAGGGCUCUGUGCAUGGCACCCGAGAGGGGCAAGUUUAGGGCCACCUUUCCUCUGCCGAUGCACACCCGGGCGGCCUUUCUGUUUAGUGCUUCAGGCACUGUGCUUGGGGUUCCUCCGAUUCCCUCUGCAUGGUCCCGGGUACCUAAUUGCUGCAAAUGAUUAAUGUCUGGUUGAAAAGCUUUGGUGACUGGCUGCUCUUGUGAAUUCUAAGCAGAUAGAUGAGGGCAGGUCCCCUGCUCUGAGCUUGGCCUGGCUACAGAAUCUAGGGUCCCUUCUCUCCUAGUGCGUUUCCUGUGCAGGUGGGGGUGGAGACAGGCUCAUGUCUGCUCCCUCAGUGAACUGGUCUGCAGAUUUGGUGGUAUUAUAAUGAUCAAAGGGACCUCAGCAGGGAGGUGUCCCUGGGGUCUGGGGAUGGACUCAGAGACUUCCUGCUUUGGGGAAAAGCAGGUGGAGGAGGUUGGGGAACCACAUGGGCCUGGGAUCUGCCUCCCUCAGCUUUGUCUCUGACCUUCGCCCCCACAGGGCUUGGUCCAUGGGAAUCUGGUCCACAUCCUGCCCCAGAUUCAGGUCCCAGGGGUGGAGAUGUCCUCUGGGAAGUCUUCACUGAUCCUGGGGCUGAGGUUAGUGCCAUCUCUGCCCUCCCACAUGGGUCCCUGCACUUCUCCAUCGUGACAGCGGGCAGUGGUUAGUCUGGGUCUUGAUUUGUUCCCGGAUGUCCAGGAUGAGGCCUGACCCUCAGGAGGCUGUGCCUGAGCCUGGGUGAAAGCAGGGACCUGGGCAGAUGCACUCUGGGGCCUAUUUCCUGCACUCCUGGCGGCCUGCUUGCUCAGGCCUAGGGGAAACUGCAGGUUUGCACAUUUUAGAAACAGGUCUUGAGCUGUGCAGGGGGCAGCUGUUGGACCAGCCCUGAAUUGCAUCUCUCUGGCCCUGGGUGCCCGAUUUGACUUUGGAGAUAUGGGGUUCCUUUUGCUUUUGCUUCUCCUCAUUCAGCAGGUCUCUGCAGCCCACCUGCUGCUCAGGUGAACGCUGGGUGGGAUGGUGGGUCCUGGGGUCGGAGGCAUCUCUGGGGACACAGAGGAUCGUGGGAGGAUGAGGGUGAGUGGAUGUCAGCUGCUGGGGUGGGGGAAGUCUUCCGCUUUGGAAUGGGAUCCCGAGUGUGGUUUCUGAGUUUGGAACUAACGUUUCUCUUUUGGGAUGUGUGGGGGAGUGGGGAUGGGCAGGAGUUCAAGUUCAUUUACUUGUAUUAAGUUGAAGUUUCCUCUUUUUAUGAGUAAGAAGAAAAAGCCCGUGAAGAUGAUGAGAAACACAGGCUGGAAAAGCCAUUUGUUUACUCAUUAAAUUUCCCAUAAAAUAAAUAAAGAAUUAGAAAGGACCCCGCGGUGGGGGCUGAGGAGAGCCGGGUGUUUCCCUCGGGGUGGGAAACGGGCCAGUGGGUCAAGGCCGUGCACUUGUAUCAGAGAGGACAGGCGCAGCCCCAGGAAGUAGGGGUCGGUGGCCUAGGUGGCCAGAGGAGAGGUGUGUGUGUAUACACGUGCACCCAUGCAGGCAUGGGUGUGUAAGCAUGUGGAGCGCACAUGCGUGUGUAAGCAUGUGCAGAAAUGUGGUCACAGGCAUAUGCAUGUAGGCACUCAUCUGUGCCUGCCUGUGAGUAUGCAUGUGUACACAGGAGUGUGUCUGCUGCAUGUACUGAGUGUGCAAACUGUGCUCACAUGUAUGUCCAUCCAUGUGAGAUGUGUAGGUGCACAUGUGUGUAUCAAGGGCACCCCCCACCCACCUAGGCAGGUACUCUGACCAGCUGCUGUGACACUCUGAGAAGAGGACAGAGCAGCAAAGGGCACGUGAGGGAGCUGGGCAGGAGCAACUCCCUGGUGGGACUGGCCUGGGCUCCGUGGGGUCGGCUGCAGCUGGCGCGGUUCCUGGGGUGGGAGCAGGCCUCUGCUGCCCUCAGAGCCUCCCGAGGUAGAGCUGGGGGCAGAGAGCCUGAUGGGGUGUGGGGGAGGCCUGGGCUUGACCAGCCCUUCCCUGCUUGGCUGGGAGACUGACUUGACAUCCAUCUUCCAGCCUCAGUUGCUCCACGGAGACAUGAUGUUUCCUAGAGGUGAGCGUGGGCCUCGGCAAGGUGGGCUGUUAUGGCCCUUGUUAUUGUGAUGAUGACCACUGCAGGUGGGGAAGGGUCUUGUCCACAUGACCCGGGUCUGCAGCACCUGGUGCCCUGUGUCUGAUGCCCAGGUACAGAGGCCCUGGAUUCCCCAGGGGUGGAGUGUCAAAGCCCUCCCCCUGUUAGGACAGUGCCAGCUGCUCUGUGGGGCUGCAGUGUUGCCUGGACCAGGCCUGGGGACAUCCCUGUCCCCCAGUGGGGAGCCCCAGCCCUAAGUUGGCUUCCCGGUUUUUCGAGGCUCUCUUUCCGCAGUGGCUGUCCGCACCUGCAGGGAGACUCCUGGCUUGGCCAGGCCUCAGGUGUUGGUUCCUCAGUCCUCCGGCUGGAGUUGCUUGGGCUCUUUUGGGAGCCUCUUCAGACCCAGAGCAAAGGGCUGGAGCCAGAGGUGGCCCACGGAGGAGCCAGAGCGCACAGGGCUCUCUCCCCGGGGAGGGCCUGCGGGUGAACAGCCUGCGUGUGGGGUGGCUGGGAAGCUGCGGCCUCCUGUCUGCUGGGGCUGGGGGAGCCCAGGGAUUCAGGGCACCGGGCACCUCCUCGUCCCUGGGGUUUGGCCAUCUUUUGGGACAGCUCUCCAGCCUUGCUGUCUUCUGCAGCCCUGUUCCUACUCUGUUCGUUUCUCCUGGAGGAUUAGACUGGGGCCGCGCGAGGGCAUGAUCAGGCAGGACAGCAGGCGCGCGCGCGCACACACACACACACACACACACAACUCCCCCCGGCCUGCGGUGGCAUCACUUGAUGGUCACACAUCUUCUCCUCCUGGGCCCUGCCUGGUUGCUUCAGGGUGCUAGGCAGGCGCCCUACCAGUGCAUCAUGCUCGCCCAGGAGUUGAAACUACAUUUCUGUCCUGGCAGGACUUUCCCGUGAGGGGCUGAUGGGAGGGGACAUGGCCUGGUUUCAUUUCUUGGCCCUUAAGGAGAGCCCUGGGCAUUCCAGGAUCUUUGCUGGCCAUGUAGCCGGACGCCUCUGCUUAGGUGCUGCAGAUGGAGAGAUGGUGGCUUCCUCGUUGAGGGCAUGGAGCGCCAGGCUCGGCCUGCCUCCCAGGUGCUGUGCAGUUUUGUGGCUCUGCACUCUGGGUGCAGAGGGGAGAGGACUUGGCCUGAGGUCUCAGAGACACAGGGAGGACAGUGGGCCUGGCCAUCCGCCUCCAGGGCUCUCCCUGUCACCUGCCUGUACCCUUUGGGGUACUUUCUGUCCUGUCUCCCACCAGGUUGUUCUUGGCUACUUGGAGUUGUGGGCUCUGGCCACCCAGGCUGAGGGUCCCCCUGCCCAAGGCCAGGCUCCCUGGGGACCAAGACCUGGUCCUUUUGCACGUGAUGCUGAGACUGUGGCUCAGCUUCCCUUCUGGGGGCCUCAGGUGUCACUUGCAAUGCUGUUGCAUGCACAGCCCUCGGCGGGGUUGGCCCUGGCACUGACCUGGUCCCAGCCGUGGCUUCUUCUGUCACAUGGCCUCCGUGGUCUCCAUGGGUUUCCACCCCAGGGCCGUGGCCUGCUCUCCGAUCGCCCAAGAAUUCCCCGCUGAUGUCAGCAGAGGCUGCAUGUUUUGAUCAACAAGAAGCAGAGUUUGGGGACCCAGCAGGAGCCAGACAUGGGCGAGGUGGGCGCCCCCUGUGCUGCCAUCGAGGGGUCCCCUUUUACCUCCUGAAUCUAGGUCUGGGAUCUCUGAGGUGGGAUGGCCUCCCAUGUCACCGAUCAGGAAACUGAGCCUGAGAAGGGCCAGGCCCUCCCAGAGGACCAUGGGCUGCGCAGUGGGACUGUGACUGGCUCCCAGACUCCAGCCCUCCCUCUCCUGGGCCUGCUUUGCAGCCAGGCGCUUCUCUGCGGGGGUUGGAACCUGCUCUGCCUUCGUGCUCUGCCUCCCCACGUGUGUCGGGCUCUGGUGGAGCUGCUGCCCCCACUCCUGGGGCUCCGGGUUCCCAUGUCCAUGUGGCCCUGGCCCCGUGUGGCGGGGGCCGUGUGGCUGUCUGCACAGCCUCCUCUAGACCCGAUGCGCUGAGCAGGGUGUGUGGCUCUCGACCUCUGUGUCUCUGAUACCACAUGUUCCUGGGCCACUGAAGCCUGAGAGUGCCCGCUGGUGGGUGAGUGGCUGACCAAAGUGUGAACUCUGUGGGGUCCUGGGCUAGCAAUGCUUCAAACACGGGCCCUGCCCCCAGCCUCCCUGGACGGGGUGGGGGCAGCUGGGGAUGUCGCCGCCCAGGUGAGCCUUCUCAACCAGAAUCAUGAAGUCCUAAGCCGAACGAAUCCCCAGAACCCCUCUCCUCUUACUGAACAUGCCUCUGGCCAGGCACACCUGUAAUCCCGGCAGCUCAGGAGGCUGGGGCAGGAGGAUCGAAAGUCUGAGGCCAGCUAUAGCAACUUGAUGAGGCCCCAAGCAACUUUGAUCCUGUCUUUAAAUAAAACGGGCUGGGGAUGAGGCUAAGUGUUAAAGCGCCCCUGGGUUCAAUAUCCGGUACCAACAAAACAAAACAAAACUCGGCUCUGCUCUGGUCUGGCUUGGGUUGGUGUCCCUGUCUAUGGCAAGAAGAAAUGGCUCUUUAUUACCCUGGUGCUGCGGGGACUUCGAGAGAGCGGGUGUCCAUGUGAGGGCCUGCUGAGGGCCUGUGGUCGUGACUGCCUGGUAAACUCCAACUCGGGGCUGCUUCCUGAGGACGGGCCUCUGGAAUUGAGGGCCCAGUCAAGUCUGGGGCCCUGUGACUGUGGCCCUGGCUGACCACCAGGCUUUCCACAGGGGGGCGGAGGUCAGGCCCAAGGGAGACUCAGUCCCGACUGUACCACAGGGUGACAAGGAACUAGGUUAGUCUGCUCCUGCUCCCAAAGGGGGGCUCUCGGAGUCCUGGGAAAGUCAGCUUCUCCCUGGGCCUUCGUAGCCUCUGGACCUUCUAGAGGCCAGUGCUGCCCAGUGGUGUCCUGCUGGCCCAGCGGGCUGCGGGGACGCUGCCGCGCACUGACGCCUGCUCUGGGCGGGCCUGGAGCCCUGGCUGCCGCGUCCUGCAGGAGAGCCGCCAGGUCUGCCGUGCUUCCAGGUCACCCAGUGGGAGGGUCAUCUCCGGGCCUCUGGGCACACUGUCCCCUGUUCAUCUGUCUGUGGGUCCAGGAGGGCCAGGGAGGGCCUGGGUGAAUGAGGGUCGUCUUUGGUCCCUCCUGCCCACCAGAAGCAGGAAGGGGUUUGAAGUGACCUGAGUGGGCGGAGCUCCCCCAGCCCAGUGUGGGGGUCCCCGUUGGGGGACCCAGCAGGAGUGGUGUAGACAGAAAAGGAAAUUGUGAGGGCCCUUGGCCAGGGAGGCGCUGAGAAUGGGUCUGCAAAGGCUUGUCUCCGUGCAGAGGGACCCCUGAGCUGUCCCCUUGUCACCCUCCUGCUCUUUGUCUCUUUAUUAUUUGUCCCACAGCUGCCUCCAUAAUGAAAGGAAUCCCAAGCAUUAAGUCAAACAGUAGGAGAAGCUUUCAAAUAAUGGUGGAGGAACAGAGGCCACCAGUCCAGGGGUGGGACAGGUUGUCCCAGUAAUCCGUACUGCAGCAGGGCAUGGCAUUUAGUUCUGAGCUCCCUGGCAGCCUUGGCAAAAAGAGAAGCAGUGUGAGUUUUGAGGAACUUGUAAGAGUGACAGUUCAGGUUAGAAAGAGUUUUGGAUCCACCUCAAGCCUGGGAGACUUCACACACACACAUCUUUUUUAAAGAAAAGGCAGGGCUGUUAUCUAAAGUAAAGCAGCGGAGAGUAAAUACUUCGGCUGUGUGGACUAAAUGUUCUCUCUUGCCACCUCUCAUGGGCAGUUAAAGAGUGGACAUGGCCGCUGUUUCAGUACGUCUGUAUCUGCCAAAACAACCCACCAGUCUGUGGCCUGGUGUUUGUGCCCCUGCCCCAGUAAAGAACAGUGAACAGUAGCCUGACAGAUGACCCUCCCCAAUAGAGACUAGUGACCAGCACGUUGUCGGAUGACUUCAUUACCAGACAAGCAUUUGAGACGCCUUCUCAUACUGACCCCGAUGGAACUGAGUCAACCAAAGGCCUGGCUCUCUUGUUCUGCUUCCUUGGACCUCACUCUGCUCUGUCCCUGGAGAGAAGGAUCUGGGGGUCAAGGGGGCUGCUGGCCCUGGCAGGACCAGGUGAACCGUGCCUGCUCAGGUGUUCCCUUCCCUGGAGGAUGGAGGGGGCCCUGGCUCCCUCGGCAGGACCUCUUGUGCAGGGCUGCCCUUCAGGGUCCACACUUGUUUCUUUGGAGAGACUUGUCGGGAGACCUAGGGGUGGCACUGGGACUGGCUGGGACGUGGCUCUGCCGUGGUUGAGAGCUGCAGUCUCCUGUUUCCUUUGUGUCGAUGGAGGCGACGCGUGGGGACAGGGAAUUCUGCUCCUGCCACUCACAGUGCGUUUCCUUCUUCCUGACGUCAGGCAGUGAAGGCUGUGGGGGGCGAGGGUGCCAGGCAGCUCCUUGGCAAAGUCCAGCUGCUUCUCAGCCCAGCCCAGGUCUGCUUGGGGUUCCUCUAGUGCCCAGGGGGGGCCGCACCCCCUGGAGGGCUCGGGUGCACUGCCCGAGGCCCCGGCUGUAGGACCAGCUCCUGCUGUCACCUCUCCCCCGUCAGAGGUGGGAGGCAGCUGGGAGAGCCCUGGAGCCCCCAGGCCCUGGAAUAUGGAGGGCCCCUGAGUGAGCUCUCCACGGGCCCUGCUGGCCGGGCUGUCUCAGCGUCCCACAUGCUCAUUUUUAGGGUCUGAGACCCUCCACCCCAUCAUGAAGAAAUGGCCAAGGACAGAAGUUCUGUCGCUGCCAGUUCUGAAAUUCUCUCCCGCCCGCCUGGGAGGGGUCCUGCAGCUCCUCCGAAGCCCUGUUUCAUUUCAACACCCUGACCCUGACCCUGACCCUGACCCUGCUGUCAAAGACCCCAUGCCACUAAGUACUGUCCUUUCACCCUGCGUACAAAAGGAAUCCAGUGGGGGUGCGCCCUGACUUUCUGGCAGGGGACCAGGGCCUCGCCUGCCUGUCCUGUCCAAGAACCCUUCAUGAUGGGUGACGUGGGGCCCAGGGCUGUUUUGCUUUGUCCAUGAGGCUGCUUGUAGGUAACUUCGCAGGUUUCCUUGGGUUUUUAACAUUUCUGCAUAAGGGGAGCCCGUUCCAGCAGCCUUCAGAGCCCCGAGGACAGGAUGGGAGUGUGGGGCUUGGCUGUGUCUGACUUUGCCUCAGCUUCUCACCCCAGGGGUGAGCACCUACACUCCAGACCCCUGGAAGGUCAUGAGGUCCCCGGGCAGCUGCUGUGCGGGUCCUGUCCUCAAUGCCGCGCCAGGUGGCUGGGCCUUGGGAUGGACACCCCAGUCCUGAAACCAGCCCAGGCCAGACGCUGUCUGGACAGGGUCCCAGAAGCUGUGCCCCAGGGUUAGGCAGAGCCUGUGCAGUCAGGGCAGGCAGUGGCUGGAAGACCUCAGGGAGGGGACCCUUCCCUCUGUAGCGGCCGGGAGAGGGAGGGACAGGACCUUCCCCAGUCGCUGAGGCCUUGUGAGGCCCACCAGGCCCAAGGCUGGGGGCCUGCCAGGGGUCAGUUGAGAGGAGAAGGGGCUGCUUCCUUCGGUGUCCCCACAGUGCCCUGCUCUCUGUUGGGCUGCAGUGACCCCACCGUGUCCUGGAGCCCCAGUGCCUGCACACAGGAGCAGGCCACCAAGACCCCCUCUCCUUAUUUCGUCCUUCCGGAUGGAGCAGUGCCGUCUCCUCCCUUCACGGACUCUGAACCCAACUCAAGAAAUUGAAGUGGUUGGUGGGUGCGGCGCCUGUGUUGUCUGUCAUGGACACGCAGGUCAGCCCCUGCCCAGCAGGGCUCUGGGAGGAGUGAGGUGUCCCCUCAGAGCCCGCCUUGGCCUCGCACUUUCCCCUUGUGCCCUCGAUGGCACCUGAGCCCGGGGGAUGCUGUGUUCAGCACCACCUGCCCUGCCCACUGAGGCUGCGGGGAGGAGAGAGGGCCAGGUGGACUGGAGUGGCCGCUGCCUUCUUGCUCUGCGCUGGAAGCUCCUUCUGGGCCCCAGUCCCAGCCUCCUCCAGGAAGUGGGAGGUAAGGGAGAUAGUGAGUGGAAGGACCCUGCCUUGUGCCCGGGCACCAGGGGCGCUUGGAAAAGACCGCCGCCAUCUAUUCUGCCGAGCUGGGGGAGGAGGCGGAACUGCUGAGGGACUGGGCAGCUCUGCUGGAGCUGGGUUUUCGGAGGCUGCCCCUUUCCCCAGCACUUGCGCCGUGAGGCCCUGGCUUCUUGGUGGAGGUUGGUACUAGGCGUCUGUCCAGCGUGCCCUGCUCCGGGUCUGACCGUCCACACCACGAGUGCCGUUGGACUUGGGCUUUCAUGGCCAAGAGGUGGCCUCUGUCCCUCCCCGGGGCUUUGGAGUCGUGUGGGCCUGGAAGGGACUGUCCCUUUCCCCUCAGUCUCGUCUCCCUGUGCCCGUCCCGGGCUUCAGAGGGACAGUUGUCCUGUGAGCUCAGCAGGCCUGCGCUGUGGCCGUCAGGGGGUUGCCAUAUCGUCAUCUUCUCGGAUGGGCGCCGGCGGCUCGGCCUGCUCAGGGGACAGUGCCCACUGCUCCUGGGUGGACAUGCCUGGGUGGAGGCCAGCUCCCACCUCAGGCAGAAGUUUCGCAAGCCACAGGGCCGUGAAGGGGCUAGUACGUGUGACUGGGCUGUCCUCCUUCCUGCCUGGAGGACCUUGUGUCUGAGGACCUGUGCCCACGCUGCUCCAGGCACCAGGGGACACAGUCCAUAGGCGCAGCUUGGAGGACGCAGGGUAGGACAGGGAGUUGUGCGCUGACCCCGGGCGGUCACAGGAGGCGUGAGGGAAAACCUGGAGGAGGCGGGACACGCACCAUCAGGCCCCUGGACGGGAGGCCACAGACAGAGGGGGACACCCCAGCAGAGGGUGUGAGGGGGGAGGCCGAGGUGGCUGCUAGCAGCCAAUCAAGGUGAACACAGGGCCAGGACUGGGGCUGGAGGAGGUCUGCUGUCCCCAGGGAGCAGCUUGGUAGUGAGAGCUCUGGAGGAGGGGGGCCUCCAGCUGUGUGACCCUGGAUCCGUCACUUUACCUCUCUGAGCCUUCGGUUCCUCAUCCACAGGGAUGAGGAUGGCAACGGUGGCCUGCCCCAGGUGGCUGCCAGGCCUCAGUCUAGAUGUGAGCAUGCUUAUAUGUGGGGGGUGCUGUCCCUCCCUGCCUCCACACAGCGGUUGUUCCCGCUGUGUGACACCUUAUCAGCUACGGACCACUAGUGAGCAGAGAGGGGUGUUCCUCCGAGGUUCUUGACCUUGGCUUUGCCUGUGGGCAGAACUCCUGGCUGCCGCUGCUUUGCGCCUGGAGACUGCUUGCGUGGGCCGCUGCCCCUUCCUGGGGAACUGGCUUCCCCGUGGCCCGAAGCCGCUCUUGGUUCAGUGCUGGAGGCCUGGAAAGUCGGGAUGGUGUGUGUCCACUGUGACCUGCCCCAGUGCUGGCUGCUCCCCUCUGGGCUGGUCUGGCCGGGUUCCCUUCCCUGCGCGGCAGAGUUUGGUCCCAGAGGAAGGGACGGGAGCCCGGCUUCUCUGGACCAGUGGCCCCUGAAGGCUGCUUCACAUUCAGUUCCGGUCAGCAAAUAUUGACCGAGGACUGCUGUGUGCCCGGCCGGGGGGAGGCCCCUGGGUCCUGGAGGGGAGCCACGUGCCGGCUGUGUCCUCUGCGAGUCCUUGUCCACGACCUGUUGGUUCUGACCUGCUCAGGGUUGGCCCCAGCAGCUGCGCCGUGACAGCCUCCCGCCCAGGCCAGGGACAUGUGGCUGCGGAGGGCUGUGGGGGGCUGUGGAGCAGGUAUUAGGACAGGCGUCUGCAGGGCUGGCUCUGAGCCUGGCCUGAGGGUGGGCCACACGCAUGCAGACACCCAGCCUCAUGGCUUGGUGCCCCUGGGCCUGGCAGAGGUUGCCCCUUUGGGGGACAGAUGCCUGGGCCCAGGGAAGAAGUCCUGUCCUGGAGGUAGGGCUUCCGGAUGUCGGUCCCCAGCCAGCAGGGCCCUUGCCCACAAGGCUGUCAGGGCCGCCCACAUCCCUGGACCUGGCUUCUAGGUCCUGGCCCAUCAGUCUUGGCAGUGACUCAGCUGUGGGCCUUGUGAGUGGAGAUGGCAAGGGCAGGGGAUUUCAGGUGGGUCCCCCUGCUGCCUUCCGGGUGGCAUCUGCUGUCCUUAGGGCUGAGCUGACCUAGGCAGGGCAGUGGGCUUUGCCCCGCCGCGGACCCUGCAGCAGCCUGGACCUCCAGACUCUCGUGGGUGGCGGCCUCAGGGUGUCACCGCUCACCAGUGUGGUGAUGAUUAUUAUUUUGGUCUUUUUUCCAAAAAAAGGCGAGAGUGCCCGUUGACGGCAUUGGGUGCCGUUCCCAGCCGAGGGCUGGCGAAGUCAGGGGGAGCUCUUCCACCAGAAAUCCGCGCUCAGAGGCUGGGAUUUGGGGAAACAGAACCGGCAGGGUUUUUUCCUUCCUUCCCAGGCACUCCGUAUUAUUAAGACACUCUGUCUUAUAAGGGAUGCUGGAUAAUUAAUCCUGUGGCGAGGCAGCAGCAACAAGCGUUCGAAUAUAUUUAAAUAAUGAGGAAGUUCUUUAAUGUGGACCCGUAAAGUAAUUGUGGGCUGGUGGCACGAGAAAGAGAUGGUCUGUAUUUAUUGAAAUGGACUUUUCCCCUUCGGAAGAUGGGGUUUUCUUUUGUGUACACACACACACACACACACACCCAGACACACACAGCACCAGCCAGAACCCUGCUUAAGUCCUCUCUCCCUUUCCAGUGGAAAAGAAUCAAUUAUGCCUUGUGGUCGAUUUCCAAAAACCACUUUUGAUUGUGUGAUUUCUUUUCACUGGAGAGCGCUCCCGUUAGCCCCUGAGCGACCAGACAGGGGAAAGGCCCUCACUAAAAAUCUGGGCGAGACUCUCAGCCACUGAGAAUAUUGACAGCAAUCAGAAAUUCCGCGGCUGUUGAAACUUCGCCUCUAAUUGAACUGGGAAAGGUAAACCUAGAUUCAGGGCUCUGCACGCUAUAAUUGCAAUAAUUUAAUUUAGCUAUUUAACCUGUAAUUCAGUGGUAUUUAUUAAGGAGCAUGGGAGAAAAUGAGGCCAUUAGGAGCCAGAGAUGAAUACAUUGAAAUGAAAAUGAACACUUCUAACUGCCAGUUGACCUUCGGUUUGUAGCAGUUUUUAUUAGGCUGGUCACGGUAAUUACCAGGACGUGAAUCAGGGAGGAAAAGUGAAUAAUUCAGUAAUGAACAUUUUUAUUCAUUAUCUCACAUUUUCAGGAAGCAGACAAGUAUCGCAAAAGUAUCAGCAAUGCUCUGUUUGUUUUUUAAAAGAUGAUGGUUUGUGGACAGUGGCCCCGUGUGAAGCAUCAUUCGGUGGCUUGGGGGGCAGGGUGAGGUAGGCUGGCAUGUCAUCAGGGCCGGCGUGCUUUUGGGGUGCGCCCAGGGAGACGGCAUCACAGACAGCCUGGGAGGAACAAGGAGAGUCAGCACCCGCCGGCCCCAGCCGGGCUAGGUUUUCCCCAAACGACGGGUACAUGGAAAGUUUUCUUGAUGUGCUGGCCAUGGGUGGGGGAAGGAGGUGUCCUCAGGAUGUGAGGGGUAGCCCCAAACUGGCCCCAAGGUGACUGUGAACCAACGCAGUGUUGGGAGGGCUGGGGAUGUGACUGGGAACAUGAAGCGAGAGCUUCUGUAUACUUUGACCCAGGAAUUCUACUCCCAGGAUGCCAGGAACGCUAACCAGGGAGAUGCAUAAAAACAUGCACCCACCACAUUGUCUUUAGAAGAGUGGAAAACUGGAUGCUAGUAGAUUCCGGCAGGAAGAGAAUGUGGAAUGGACCAUGUGCAGGACAUGGGAGGGACCAUUACACAGCAGGGAAAAAGAAUGAUGUAGCAGCUUUUCUAGAGAUGGGGGAAGUGUCAGCAGAGAAUAGAACAAAUCAAACCGUGUGAGGUCUGAGUGGACCUGUCUGAAUCCAAGAGGGUUCAAAAGGGAACCUCAACACUUUAACAGACGUUACAUUGGUCAUUUGCUUCUUCCUCUGAAUCCUCAUCUGUAUCUGUUUCUGCAAGAAGGAAGUAAUCCUUGAAAAUCAGAAAGUGCAGUGACAUUGACCUUUGGAGGUGACUUGCCAAUGGGAGAGCGGUUCCCAGGGGGGCGCGCUACACUGCACCGGCAGCCUCUGCCAAGCCUGCGUUUCAUCAGCUCCUUCUUCCUCUUCCCAGAAAACCCUUCAGCCUUAGAGGUAACAGGGGGAUACGCUCUAAAGACACCCGUGUCAGCGGGCUGUGAUGGAUGGCUGCUCAGCGCUGCUCAGCACCUCUGUGCAUGGGGAGGUAUUAUUUCCAUACCCUGCUGGGAGCUCCAAAUGGGGAGUCUGCCUCCUCUCCUGGGCCCCGGGUACAUGGCCAGGAGUGGGGACACUUGCUGAGGAUGGGCCCCCCCACGCCCACUGUUGAACUGAUGGCCCUGGUCUCUGAGCCUCCUCCACUCUGGCUGUCCGCCCGUCUCUGCUUCUGGUCAUUUCCAUUCAGAUAGAGACGUUAGGAGUGAUCAUAUUCUAUUCAUGCAGCUAGGGAGAGCGGGAGUGGGGCGUGUAUCUUGGUGUUGUCAGAAGGACCUCAUUAGAUACGCAGAUAAUUCUGCCCCCUGCCCCCCAGCAAGGUCUUCAUUUCCUCCCUGGAGAGGCCCUCGCCACCCUCUGACACCCAGACAGGCUGGAGGCUUGCCUUCUGGAAAAAAAAGAAUUGCUCUUUCCAAUUUUCAAUUUUCCAACUUCACUCAUUUCUUUAUUAAGUGCACUGUGGAUAUUGGAGAGAAAGAAAGAAAACGACAGUUCCACCCUGAAUUCAGAGCGUGGGACCCUGCUUCGCAUAGUGAGUUCAGCGGAUGAGCAAGAGAGGGGCGACCAGGGGUCUUUGGGCUCCAGGGUGGUUCCUGGCGCAGCUGGGCCCCUGUCCAGUGUCCUUCUGCCCCAGGGACCUCUCAUCUGACCACUUCCUUGCUUCCGACCUGCCACACCUGCUGUAUCCCAUGGCUGUGCCCUAAAACCAGGUGCUUAUCAGCAAAAACUCCUGAGAAGGGCACGGGCUAGGGCGCAGGAGGACCGGCCUUUGGCUUCUGGUUCUGGUUUUAGGCCUUGGUUCAUUCACCUGUAAAUUCCUGAGCUUCUGUAGGCAAAGCCCUGGGCCCUCAGGCCAGCUUCCCAGGACAAGCCCUCCCGCCGCCCCGUCCAGGCCAGCCUCGGUUCUGCUAAGGUUCUCUUGGUGGCCGUAAGACCCUCCCCAUUAGGGAGGAGCUAAGCAACCUUGGAUGGGGAGACACCUGGGAGAUGACCAAAUGAAAGCCUGGCUCUUGAGGCAUCUCCUGUGGCCUUAGAGAGCAUCACCCCCCACGGGGCUCCUGUUUAUUUGCAGGCAACGCGAGACCCCUGUUCAUCUCCCUGUCCUGGACGGCAGACACGCCCUCUGACCAGGCCCAUGUCUCCUGGAGCGCAGCUGACCUCCCUGGGGCUUGAGAGCACUUGUCCCUCUAGCUGGGGACAGGGCACCAUCAGGGAAGCUGAACUGCUGCCCAGCGAGGGCCCCUGUGGGAAGGCCAGGGCCUGGAUCUCUCCUUCCUUGGAAACUCGUUGGGGGCCACGCUUGGCCAUGGUGGUUGUUGAGAGGGUGUGGAGUGGUCUCCCUGCAGAAUGGCUGGCCCGCUUGGUGCAGUGGGAAGGGAGAAGGCAGGACAUCGAGGCCUCGGUGCUGGGGAUCAGGUCACCUCCCCUCCCCCCAGUUUUUAGGGUGCCGAGGAGGGUAUCGCGACUGGCGACCCCCAGGCGCAGGAUGCCACGGAUCUCGCCGGCUCCUGCAGAGGAACUUUGGAACCUUUCCUCCCCGGUUGCCUGGUUACAAGAUGAUCUGUCACGUGUUCCCCGAGAAGGGGGUUUGGCUGGGGCGAUGCAGUCGCGGGUGGGGGCGCCGGGAGAUAGUGUCUGCUGUUGGGAAAGCAGCGAAUACAUUCGAUCAUAUCAAAUCCCCAUUUAUAUUGCACCGGACAGCCUCACUGCCCAGCUGCCCUCGAAGCCUCGGACCGCUGGGGCUUUUUUGAUGCAUGAAUGAAGACUGGGAAGUGGGCCAGGACUUGGCUCCUGGGCUUCUUCAUCAUUUAUUAGCUUCUAGUUUUAAUUGUUUCGCGACUUCUUUCCAGAUAUUUAUCUAGGAAGAAUUGUCAGUUCUUGCUGCGCCCCACAGACGCGCGGGGCAGGCGCCGAGUGCAGAAUUUUAACGGCUCUUCUGGGCAGCAGGCAGGAGGGCUGUCUCAGGAGACUCCGGCAGGUGUUGGUUGAGCACCUACUAAGUGUCAGACGGUGGUUUGAGGUGACGGCAUGCAGGGAUGAAUGGUGAAUUUGAGGGCUUCUGUAGUACAGGCCUUGGGCUGCAUGGGAGCUCUGUGGCCUCAAGCAGAUUGCUCUACCUCUCUGAGUCUUGGACCCUGUAUCUUGGAUCCAGGGUGGACAAGCUUUUAGCGGUUAUGGGAUACACUGAGACACUUGGCAGGUGCGCACUGAGGGUGGGCUGUUGUUUUGUGGGUGACCCACACAAAGGGUCCUGAUUGUGGGGUGUGGGUUGGAGUAGGGUAAGGGCAGGACACUGCAGUGCCAUUUGGCUUAUGUUCUAGUCUCUGUGAGGCAGGAGUCCUGGGGAGCCCCAGAGAGGAGGCCUGGGGAGUAGUGGGGUGCCACUCGUGUCCUUCCUUUCCUCUAGAGGAUCCCGGGGUCAGAGUGGCCCGCAGUGGUGCUCAGCUGGUUUUCCUGGAGCACAGCUUGGUUUUGCUUCAGGGGAUUUUUCGUCCUCCCGUCACCUGAGUGCAACUGGAGUCUGAAGACCCGAGUCCUUGACCUGUGUGACCUUUCUUGCAUUGGGUGGCCUCUGUUUCCCCUUCGUACACUCUUGGGAGAGGGCUCUGGAUCACGAGGGCUCCCUGGUGGAGAGCCAGGGCCUGCUGGGCCUGACUUUACUGGUGGCCUUUUGUUCCAUGAUUGGGGUGACUUCAGGCGAUGACGCUCCUGGGCCCUGGCUCCUCCCACGGGAGCCGCAGUCGAUGGACUUGCUGUGGGGAUGUGACAGGUGCCCGUCUGCAGGGCUGCCAGCUCCGGUGGGGUUGUCAUUGUGGCGGGCAGUCUGUGCCCUGGUGAGGAAGGCGGCUCUUGAGCCUGUCUCCAGGCCCGAGGCCUAGCUCCUCCCUGUCUGUAGGACCACCACCUGCACCCUUGGAAUCUCUUUUCUCCCCAGCAUGACAGGAAUUUCACAUGGAGGGACGGGUUCAGAGACACUGAGCACCUUGCCUGGGGUCACCCAGCUAAUAACUGCAGACACCCCUUGGGGCACAUGGGACAACACUGGACGGGGCUCUGAAUGACCCAGGGGGCAGAAGCUGGGAAAGGGCACUUGCCAUGCCCACCAGGCCUUCUGGCACUGCCCACCCUGUGGAUGUUUGUCUGGGAGCCCAGUUCUUUGGCCGACUGUCCUAACAGAUCUGUCUGGGGUCAGGAUUGCUGUGCUGCUCAGCCCUGCAGAGGGCAGAUGGUCCCGGACAGUGCCCUGCCACCCCUGGGCUUCUGGAUUCCACUUCUCCCUCCUGUUGCGGGGAGAACCAUGGUGAGGAUCCGCCCUUCCCUGGUGGCACGUGCACCUUGGGAAGUGGCUGCACUUCAGGUCGCUGCGGGGGGCGUGGGGGGGUGGGGGUGGAGUGGGUGGAGGUGGGGGGUGUUGAUUGGUAGGAACCGUCCAAACCCCAGCGCCUGAAUUCCAGUUGGCCAGCAUCGAGGCCAAGGAAACAACUGGAUCUCAUGGGCUCCAAGGAGGAUUGGGACGACUCAGGCAGGAGGUGGUGGAUACCAGAUCUCCAUGUGUCAGCUGGCUUUUGGGCAGGAGGUUAAACACCCAUUUUGACCCGGGAGGUUGGAGAGGCAGAUCUCUUGUGAAACUGGCCCCAAAUGGAUUGAAACAAGACGAUGAUGACCAUCCGCGAAGCAGUGGUGCUGUCGAAUGCCCCUCGUGGCCCGGACUCGGUCCUGACCGCUGUGUCUUCACCCCACGUUUCAUCUUAGGCUUGGCGAGGGUCGUUUAUUUUAGGCUUUUCGAAGGGAAACAUUUUUCUAGAAAAGAGUGGGGUGAGCGCGGGGAGGUCAGCGCUCUGCAGCCGGAAUCUGAGUUCUCCAGCACGUUGCGCCUAGCGAUGGUUAUUGUUCCCCAGAAAAGCACGUCCCUUUUCUUCCUCGCUUUUAACAUUCUGCCCUUGGCAUCUGCUCCAGGCAUUGUGGACGAGGGAGUCUGCGUCCUGACAAUGGGUUAAAGCAAGCACUUAUUGAAAAGCAUUCUCUACUUAAUUACAUUUCCUUCUUCUGGAAGCUAUUUUAAUUUUUUUUUUAUAAUCACAUGUUAAUUGUGUAUUAGCGGGGCCUUUCUGAUUAGUUGAAAACAUAAUGAAACCUUUGUAAACAACACAGAGAGAGGAAAGAAAGGCGAAUGUGUGAAACAGAGACAGUGGUGAGGAGCCAGUUCUCAGAGGCCGAAAUAACUACCUUGCUCUGUGCCAGGGAGGGGCGGAAACUGUACCUGGAAGUCCCCUGGGUGAAUAACGACUCCCCGGGGCAGGGCCGAGCGGCCCUGCUGGUCAGCAGUGAAGCUGGGUUUGCUCACCAGUGGUCCUGAGACGGGACCCUUGCAGUCCCACCCCCUCAUUCGCUCACUCACUCACUCACUCAUGUCCUUGGACCGUUGAAUAACUUCCUCUAUCGAGCACCGACCAGUCUCUCCAUGCAUGGUCUGGAGUCUUCCCUCCAUGCUCAAGACAGGUAUUAUCCCAUUUGUGGAUAAAGAGACUGGAGGUCAGAGUGGAACUCACGCAUUCAAGUUUAGCCAAGUUUGGGGAGCUGAAUGGAUCUACCCCAGCCCCAGCCCAGUGGGGUUCUGAGGCCGCUGUGUCCCUUCCCAUCUCACUUUCACAGGGAUCCCAGACACCUGGUACCAGUCAGGCCCACAAGAGCGGGGAAGGAGCCGGCCGGGCUGGGCCUGUGUGUGUAGCAGAGUGGGUGAAAGGUGGCAUGCUGCUGUCCCCAGAACAUGCCGGCUUUGUUUCAUUUUCUGCUCUUAACGAGAGCCACGUUUCUGUCUUAGAGCCCCAGCCCUGGUUUCCAGGCCCUAUUGUGGUGAGCGGCCCCAGGGCCCUGCUCUGUUCCCCAUUUAAAGGGCUGGGCUUACAGGGGUUUUGCAGUUCCCAGGCUGUUAUUAGGGAAGCGUGGCUGGGGCGCUUAAAAUGAAAGUGCUACUGUGUGGAGAGCCAGGUUCACUGCGCGCACUCCAAGGAGACGCUGCCAAGACGGUAUCAUGAGCAGCCGCCAAGCAAAACACGCGCUCCGUCCAGAGCAGCCGGCUCCCUUCUGCAAAUAGGGGAAAAAUUGACUUUCUGAUUUGGAGUGUUUCUACAACUAGGAAGACUCACUCCAGUGAUUGUUCUAAAAAUAUUCCAGAGGCAGCACGUUCUCCGAGGCCUCGGGACGCUCAGCAACCCUUAAUUGUGCUUUUUAUGUAAUCUCCCUGGAUGGUGUGGGCUUUGUGUUUUUUUCCAGUCACUUAAGUCUGCAUGGUCAUCCCCGCCGCGCCCCACCCCACCCCACUCACAGUGUGGCUGUGGCCUCUGAGAGUGGCGCACGCAGCAGAAAUGGGGUGUUUAUCUCUUUGACUUCAGGAAGUGUGUUUGGGUUUGGUGUCCUGCAGCCACGUUGCGAGCUGAAUCUAGGGCAGCCCUGACAUCUCUGGCCUUCACACCCAGAGGAUCUGGGUGGCGGUGGGCCGGGGCAGGAGUACCCACCGAUGGACUGGUCUGCUCCCUUCGCCUGUUCGGCUCCCCUUCUUUGCAACACUCCCUCCCUGGGAGCCCCAGAGCCCAGAGUCCUGGGCCACUCUGGAAUGCAGAGGACCUCUGCCCCAUGAGUGCCUGGGUGCCACAGUGCCUCCAUUGGCCAAAGUGGAGGUGUGGGCCCAGCUGGCCCCCGUGCUCACCUCCUCCUCCUCUCUCCUCCCACUCCCCUCACUCCCCAGUCUUGCUUUCUCUUUCAGUCUCUUUUGCUGGGCUCAAGGGCAGUGUCCACAAGGAGACCAGGAUUGAAGUGGAACUCCUAGCUCAGGGCAGCUCACCCCCUGGGCUGGGGAUACUUAGGGCUGUGGGGGGUGUCCUGCUCAUUGGGCAGUGUUAAGCAGCUCUCUGGCCUCUACCCAGUACAUGCUGGGGCUCCCCAGUUGUGACAAUCGAAAAUGUCUCCAGACAUCAAUCAGAGUCCCUUAGAGGGUUCCACCGAGACCCCGUGGUCUGGGGUGUUCCAUCGUUAUGUGUAGGAAAGAGCAAUAACAGCAAGACCUGGAAUUUGAGAAUGAAGUCCACCCUGAAAUUUUACCUCCAAAGCAUGUUUUAAGAGGACAUUACAGGAUGACCCUGUUGUGAGGGUGACCUCCAUGUGACCUGUGUGACAUGCUGUCCCUGGGGGGCGGGUGACUAUACCUUCAGAUAAUCCAGUACUUUUCCUCUAACACAUCCCCUAUGCUGGGCUCCGGGAGCAGCUCUGCCAGACUGGUUUUGGCUGGUUAUGGUGAUGGACACUUCUGAGGACUUGGCCAGGAGACUGGGUCAUGGCCACCCUCCCCUCUUUCCUUCCUUCCUUCUGCUUCCUUCCUUCCUUGGAGACUGACUGAUUGAUUGAUUGCUCAGUGUCGGGAGUUGGACCCAGCCUGUCCCCCGGCAAGCGCCUCUUCAGUGACACGUGCUGGGACCAUUUACAGGCAUCGUGUUGUGUGGUUUCCAUGUCGACUCAUUCCGGGGGCACCUAGGAAGGGCGGGUGCCAGAGGUCACUGCACCCGUCUGUAGACCCAUCUUGGAGAAACCUGCGACGGGGUGGUCAGCAGGUUGUGCCCGGCUUCCUUGGAACACCACGUGACUGAAUGUGAUUCCCGGGCUCAGCCCAAACCCAGGCCUCUGCUGGCCACGCUCCGCCAGCUGGCCAGCCACGCCAGGCUCCAGGCACUGCAGACGUUUGGAAUUCAUGGGGCUCCCCCUCCCUGGGCUGCUGGGCUUCAGGUUCUCUGGAGCAGCCCCGACAGCGCCCGCCUGGAGCCUCCUGGCUGCAGUUCCCCACCCUGCGCCACGCCUCCUUUGUCAGCAGCUGGGCACCCACGGCCCCUUGCUCAUUCCCUCCUGCCCUCUAGUGCCACCCGUGAGGCCCAGUGCCGGGAGGACCCACUGUCUCAGCUGCUGUGGGUCCCAAGCCAGAGCUGGGGCCAUGGUGGGGUCUAACCACUGGACUGCCCAGCCUCAGAGCCGGCUGGUAGUACUUGCCGGGGCUCUGUGAGCGGGCCUGGCUGCCAUCGCCGGCUGCCCCGUGUCACCCCCCCACCAUGAGAUGCCACACACACAUGCUACAUUUUUGCGUGGACCUGUGUUCAGCCUCCUCCGUACCCUCCAUGGUGCUGUUGGCACACCUCCGAGUCCUGAUUCUGGAACCGUGCAUCCGGGCACCCGGAAACUUGCACAGCAGCAGGCUGUGCCUGGCGAGGAUGACCACGGCCCGGCUGCCGGCAGCGGGCUGGAGGAAGCUUGGCACCAUGGCAGAGGCAAAGUGCCGCAGAAGUGCCGCAGGUUUUUCAUAUGGAAAUGUGAAAUAAUGGGGUGAUUAAAUAGAGCUGUAUAUUAAAGUACAUCUGACAUUAGAAUUACCAUAAUGUGCUGUAGCCUUAGGCUGAGUACUUUAUUUGCCAUCUGCGUCGGCCCCAAAUCCCCCGGGGAAGCGCUAAAAUAUUCUGAAUAAACUCAGCUCGAGUUCUUAUUGAGAGUAAAAUACCAUUUGUGGCACGUCGUAUUGAUUCGUCUUAAUUGUGGUGCAGAAAAGAACAUUCACUGGCUGAUGACUUUUGUGCUUGGUGACAAGCUGGCCGGAGUCACUCUAACACUGCGGUUGGUUAACCUGGGCAGACGGGCCGCCAAGGCCGGGCAGGCACCUGGGCUCCAGGCUGAAGCUGCAGUGCCACCCCCUGCCCCUGCUCAGGGCCGGCACAGGCACAGCUGGGGCUCCCUGCCAGCCCCCUGCUCUCCUGGAGGGACUUGAGGGUGGAGGGCGGGCGCCCCUUUGGGGGCAAGGAAAUUCAUGCUGUACCCUGCAGGCGCCUCUCCGUGUCCGGCUUCGUCAUCUCCCAGCAAGGCAGGAGCAUGGGUCAGCUGUGGAAAGAGGGCCGUUGCCCCAGCCUCUGGCUCGACAGAUGCACUGUGCAUGCUCAAGGAAACAAAAAGAGACAUGAGAGAGAGAGAGAGAGAGAGAGAGAGAGAGAGAGAGAGAGGUGGGAGAGAUGCCACCAGGCAAAGCCAAGCUUGACUGGUCAUUGCAGGGUGGCCAUGGGACCUGGUGAUGCUCCCUUAAGCCCUCCGGGGGAAGGUGCUCGCAGGAUGCUUUAGAGAUGCGAGCCACCGGGCGUAAACACCUGGUGGAGCAAACAGCGCUCCCCCCAUUCUCGAGGUCCAGUUUUUACCCUAUAAUUGCCUAUCAUUAUACACAAUUUAAAUAUUCAAACAUCCUGCACAAACCCUGGGCUAGCGUGUUUUUAUUACAAAUUCAGAACAAGGGAAUAACCUUUAACUUCAGAGACAAAUUUACAAGUGCAUAUCUGCUGUUUUCUCGUGCUUUAUCAAUCCCUGCAGACCGGAACACUUUUGCUAUAACACCACUCCGAACAAUAUACAUAUAUUACUACUUGUUUGUAGUGAGUCGGUAAUGAGUCCCCUCUGCAUUCGCUAACCUAUAUAACUCGGCGUCGAGGCUCUCCAUAACGUCAAUUAUCUCCUCACAGCUAAACGUACACUCCAUUAAAACGAGAUUUACUGCCCCGGCCGUACUUCUUGGGGUGGAAAGUGGAGAUUUUUGUGGAUUUAAGGAAAGGAGGGCUGCAGCCCGUCCUGCGGAGGAAGUGGUAGAUUACGGAGAAGGGGGACUUCCUGUGUGGCCGGGGAGGAGGCUGAGCUCCCACGUGAGGCCAAGACACACGUGUGUGCGCGCGCACAUUCGAGGUGCCCGCUCCCCCUCCUCUGCUCAUCGUCUCCUAAUUCACCCCUUUUUGUCCAUUCAGUGAUAAGGGUGGUUUGCUGCAUGCUUCUUGGUCGCACUGGGAGGCCACUACUGUCCCCAGAGUUCUAGAAACAUCUCUGAACAUUCCAUGUGGGGUGGGGUGGGGUGGGGGAGCCAAACCACCCAGUGAGUUCAUCUGCCGAUCCCCCAAGCCCCUGGGAGAGUGUCGGCCCUUGCAGGGAAGCAGAUUUCAGGGGAAUGCCAUCUCUGCCGCUGAAGACGGAUACUUCUUCCGGUGAAUCUGAGCCCCUUGUUCAGGGGGAGGAGGUGCUCUGAAGACUUGAGAGAUGGGCUGGAGCUCUCUCUGAGUGCUUCAGUUGAGUAACCACAUGUGAGGCCGCCCUGGGCACCCGGACCUGCCCACUGCUCUUCCAUCUCACUGACAAACACUGCCGUUUGUCUCCCUAUGCUGAGAUGCCCCACGGUCAGCAAUUUCGCUUUGUUUUGGGGUUGGGUGUCUAUUUCCUGAGCCUGAAACUGCACACCUGGUCUGACCACAGAAUUGAGCAGUUAAAAUAAAGACUGUUUUGGGAAACCUGGGGUGCACGGGGACUGCAGCUGUGGUUCAGUUUGAAUACUUCUCUGUUCCACGAAGAGCCUGGACCGCACUGUUCCUGAAGGUGGAUUCACAGUCCUCUGGUAUUCAGAUGAGAAGCUUGCUGGAAUUGUUGAACUCCUGCUUGAGAGGACGAUAGAAAAGCCACUGCCUAGGAUCAUGGUCUUCACACUGUGUUCUAAGUUUCAUUGGUUUAUGUCGCAUGGCUUCACUGUUUGCGCAGAGUGGGUCUGGUUGGAAGCAGAGUUCUGAAGGGUUCACCAGCAUUCUUCUGUUGUGCUGAGAUUUUGUGAGACUUCAGGGAGGUCUUGAAGGUGGGCUUGAACAUCUUUAUUAUCUUUUUUUUUCAUUUUUAAUGUGGAAGUUUUCACUGGGAUGGAAUGUACAGCUAUUGGAAUUUUUUUUUUUUUUUUUCCCGUAUCCAGCCAAGUUUCUUAACCCGGCUCCAGACCCUCACACUGAUUCCAGGGCCUCUUUUUGAGUCUAGGCUCCUCCCUCCAGGCCUCUGUGUGGUGUUUUUCUCUGCCCCGUAUGCCCUUUCCCUUCCUUCCCUACACAAUGGACUCGUUCCUGCUGAGCUGGGCUCAGAGUCCCCCCCUUGGGGCAUCUGGUCCUCCAGGAUGUUGGUCUCUCCCUCCUGGGUCCAUUGCAUAUUGCACUCCUGGUUUGUGACCAAAUGGCUUCAACCCUUCCUAGAUACAUGUGUCCCAAAUACCAGGCUUCGGGCUGCAUGAGGGCAGCCUUGAGUUUCUGGGGCCCGCUGCACAGAGGGUCCCAGCGUCUGCAGAGGGAGGGAGGGAAAGAGAUGCACGUGAGUAAAAGAUGCUGAGAAUUUGCUGUCACCAUUUAUUUCCAUAGUGGUACCUCGAUCGCAAGAGGAAGUGUGGCCUUGAGCUGUCCUCAUACUCCUCCCCAAGUGAGAACCCCUGGGAGCAGGACGCACCUGCACAUGUAGCCUACUUUAGGAGCAUGAGCUUGGGGGUCGAGGACAGCCCUGCACUGAGGCCCUGUGGUGGCCUGGCCAGCACUGGAGGGAAGCCCUUCAGAACUGCAUGGAGCAGCUGCUGUGUCCCCCGUCUUUGUCUCAACCUUUGUGCAGCAGGGUGUCCUGCAGUUGUGGGCUCAGGCAGCCUCCACCUUGGGGCCUCUCCUUCCUCUUAGGUGUGCACAGCUUGGACAUCAACUCUGUGUCGUUGCCUGCUGCCUCCUCUCUGGGUGCCCUGAAGUCCUGCUGCAGCUCUGGUUCUAUCUUGGGGUUCUGUGUCCCGUCCACUGCUUAGCCUGACCCCCACCUGUGGCCUCCUGGAGGGGAGGCGAGCAGGACUUGCUUCAGGCACACCUGGGCAUACCUGGCGAUGCCAGGCUCUUGGUUGGAGGCUGUUAGUUGAGGGCUUUUCUUCCAGCCUCAGUUAACUCCAGGCAGAUGGAGCCAAGCAGGUCAGCCCUGCCAAGCAGGUCCUGUCCAGGCAAAUGGGCAUCGCCAAGCACUGUGGGGCUGACCGCGGCUCCUCGUGCGUAAGAUCUCUUCUCGGCCCUUGACCCUGGGGCUGGGCCUCCCUGUCCUGUUCUCCAGAUCCUGUAGCUGGGCCCCUGUCCCACUGUCUUGAUCCUGUGGCUGGGCUUCCCUGUCCUAUAGCUGGGCCUCCCUGACCUGCUUUGUCUGGUGUCCAUGGGUGCUGGUGGAAUGGUUGGGCAUGGCUGAGCUGGGCUCCUCUCAAGGCCAGUGACAGCAGAGUUAUCAGUCCCUGUGCGAGGGGGCAGCCAGCUGUGUGUCCAGAUGCAGUACUGGCCCCAGGUCCGUCUGGCUGGGUAUGAGUGCUGUUCUGCCACUUAACCCAUGACACCCUGUGCCCCUCGCCUUGUCUCUGAUGAUGGAAAGUGUGAAUUCACACUCCCUGGAGUGCCACCUGAUGCUCAGGCCUUUUCAAAAACCCAGUGCUGCCUUGUGAUCCGAAUGAAGGGGGUCUGGACACAGCGCUCUGGGAAUAGACAGGGGUGUGUGCUUGAGUUGGAUCUGGAAGGAGGUUUUGCAGGUAGAGAAUAGAAGACAGGUAUUUCAGGCAGCAGGAACUGGCAAGGGCUUGGAGGGAUGAAAAUGGACAGCCCAAAGAGAGGGGCCUCAGAGAGGGCGUGGCCAGGGUGUGAUGGUGGAGGCCGCAGGAUGGCGUCUGGGCAGCGGGGCUGCGUCAGCUCUGGGGCUCAGGGAGCUAGCUGGCUCUUCUGCGGGGUAGUGGCAGAGGUGGGGGCAUUUUUUCUUGUUCUGGUCAGUGUCACUUGGGAUCCUGGUAUGCUCCUGUGGUUGGAAUGCUGCUGCCCAGAGGCUGCGUGGUGCUAGGCAGGUCCCAUGCCUUGGUGCCCAGGAAGAGGGGCCGUUUGCUGAGAGGGCUGAACUGAGCCGUGCCUGGGGCUGACCUGGUGUGGAGGGCAGGGCUGACUGUAGACUCAGGGUUCGCUGUGCCUGGGUGGGUGCCCUUGUCCUGGUGGUGAUGCCUUCAAUGACAUUGACCACGGAAAACACCCGGAACACAAAGUGCAGGUGUUUCCUGCAUCUCCCUGUGUGGCCUCCUGCGCACCCAGGGUCCACUGCCUGGGGACCCCAUUUCAAGUACUUCACCAAGAUGAUUCCGCAUCCCACAACAUAUAAGCCCCAGUGUUGCCUUCACCAUACAGAUGGGGACCCUGAAGCUCCUUCAGUCCAGCCAUGUGGCCAAAGUGUCCUGGCUUCAAAGUGAAUCUGGAGGGAAUGUGGGGUCCGGCUGGCAAAUCCAAGGAGCACACCAAGCUGCAGGACUCUCAUUACUGUAGGCCAGUUAUAAAGCACUUGGGCCUCAGUCACCACACUGGGGAGGGUCCUAGCCGUCAAUAAAACCAGCUCAGUCCUGUCCUCAAGGAGCCUGGAAUCCAGCCAGAGGAUGAAUUUUAGAUGAAUAAUCCAAGGCCAGUAAUGUCUUCUUGAGUUUCCUUUGUUUCUUUUAUAAAUGGCGACAAUGUGUGUAGUUCUUGGGAUGGUGAAUGAGGACACAAGCAGGUCAGAAGCCCAACAUAGUACAGGCUCCAAGCCCCCAAUCCAGCCGAGCCCUUGAAUCUCUCCUCUCUGCACACUGAGCUUCCCCUAGUACCACCCCAAAUUUCCAUGAAAUGACUGAGCUAGUUCUUAGGUGCUCCCUGUCUGCCUUGGACUGCAAGGCGCCUCCCCAGCCAGGCGCCUCCCACACACAGAAGACUCGGCUCCCGCUUGUCCCGUGAGAGAAUGACAGGCAGGUGUAGUCACUGAGCUCAGCAGGACACAGCGCUACUGAGUGUACUGGCCUUGUCUGUUGUGAUCAAUGGACUUAGGUGUGCUGGUGUCCACAAACAGUAGAGAGGCUCAGGCGCACUUGAUUUGGUGAUGGCUGUCUGGAGCCUGGGGAUCCAGAGGAUUCCAGGCCUGGAGGGAGAGUGCGGGGAUGGAUUGGUGAUGUCUGCCACAGGCACUGGCUUUGGGGAGUGGGUCUGUUCUCUCAUUGGGGAGCAGAUACCCUCAGUCCUAGUCCCACAGUUACUGCCACCACAGCACCAGCACCCUGUCGGGACCACUUGUGAAAGAUUUUUUUUCUUCUAAAAUAGCUGCAACUAUUACUUUCCCAUGAGUCAGUCAGCUUGAUUUCAUGAGUUAUUGUGGUUCUAACUCCCAAACAGCACGUCUUGACACUUUGGUUAGCACUUGAGCUGGAAUGAGAGGUAAAACACCAAAGCAUACAGUUUCCCUUGCCCCGGGAUCCUUUGGCUCCAGGGGCUCCGAGUCUGCACAGAGACUCUGGACCCACCUUUUAUCUCAGCAGUGUAACAGCAGGAGCUCCUCUGGCCAGGAGUGUGGCCUUGGUUGGACGCCUCAUCUCUUCCAGCCCUCAGCUUCAGAGGUCACUGGGGUGAGGUCUUCUGUGUGCUCAGCUCGGGGACAGCUCAGGGAGUGGAUUUAUUGUACUCGUCACUGCAGCUCCACUUGCUGCUGAGGAGGGCUGAGAUUGGACGGGACGCAUUCGGGGUGAGCAGCGGUGCCUGCCGAUUCUAUGGAUGACAAGGCCCAGGAAUAGUGCAAACGUGAAGCUUCGUAGACUCCAAGGCACUCAGUCGAUGUUUUCUUUCUGACAGAUGGUUUUCAUUUUUGUUUGUUUUUUUGCGGAGUUAGGGAUUGAACUCUGGGCCUCCUGCAUCGGCCUGUGCUCUCCCACUGAGCCACACCUUUCAUGAGCAGCCGUAGAUUCUAGAGGACGAUUAAGCACUCAGCUUGCAAAACCAGCCUUGUCUUUGGUCCUGUAUCCUGGUCAUCCUGAAGGCCAGAAUGGGAAGAAAGCUGCCUCUGGGCCUUCUGGGGCCUGGCUUCUUGGCCCUAGACUCAGCCACCUCAGUAUCUUAUGACCCUCUCCCCUGUCUGUCCCCCAAGUGGCAUAUGGCACCCAGUGGGCUUUCUGGCUCUGAGAAAUGACUCCACUUCUUCUCUCUGGGGUCAAGGCCUGUGGUGGACUUGACUGGGGUCCAUCCAAGGGUAAUGAGUGCCCUUCACACAGUACAAUGGUGGACCCCUGUCCUGACGUCUACUGUGAUAAAGGACAGGGAAUCCUUCCGGUGGCAGGUCCUGUGUGCUGGAGGCAAGGGGGUCCUGCAGGGGGCCCCUGAAGGGGGCCGUGGCCUGGCUGCAUUCUGGCUGCGUGAACUUGCUUUGCUAGCCUCCGUGUCCUCGUGCCAGCAGGGCCAGGUCCUUGCCUGGCCUCCCUCUGAGAUGGUGGUGAGCAGUGAUGAGCUAAUGCGGUGGAAAGGCCCCAUCAGGUGCAGAAUGCUCUGCAGCCUGUAGAGGGGCCACAAGGCCCAGAACCGAUCCUCUCUGGCAGCCUGGGCCACUGAAUCUCUCGCAGGGCAAAUGCCCUUCCAUUUGGUAUCAGUUGGCCUGGAGGGCCAGCACUCUCAAUUAUGGCCUAUUCAUUGAAUAAUGAUUCAAUUAAAGGUAUGCUUUUUAUGGAACACCCUGAUGCCUUUAUUGGUCUUACUAGAGUAGCUGGCAUCAUGAGGAGGAACCAUUAUUUCAAUGCACAUAAAACAGAGUCUGGGACCCGAGGGAGAGCAGCAUUCCAAUGCAGGAGUCCAGUUGCCUGUUGGUUCCCAACGUCACCAUAAAAAAUCACGUUUCCUCAGCGUUUGCAAGUUUCUGCUUCCCGGGAACCUCUACUACAUGAGGCCGGCUGCAUUAAAAUUCCUCCAGGGUUUUAUUACUGCCAGAGCCGCACUGAAAGCCGUCCCUGAACCACGCACCACCAGGCACAGGAUGGAAAACAAAACCGCAACGAGUGAACCCCUCCCUGCACCCGCUGCGUGGCGAUGCGUGAUUUACAGGGACAGCAUCUCAUUCAUGCCCCAGCCCUCUAGCGAGGCAGGUGUGUGAUUUGUGUUCUACUGAUGAGGAAAUCAAGGCUCAGAGGGGUUAGGUGACUUGCUUGGCAGCACCUGUCUGGGAAGAGGGCAGAGGUAUUAAGCAAAUGCUGCUGUCCAGGGCUCUGGUAACCAAGAGGUCACGGGGAGGGUUUUGCAUUUGAGAGAGAUGCCAAGGGGAUCACUUUAGAGUCAGUAGAACCAAGAAGAUCCAGUGUCGGCUUCUGCCAGAGGGCACUAGAAAGGUCCGAGAGAUGAGGGCGGAAGGAAGCCAGCAGAUGAAGAGCUGGGCCCUGAGUUCUGAAUUGCCCUGUGCCAUUCCACCAGCAAAACGCAGCUGCUAUUUCCAGGUCUGUAGGCCAGGUUCGAUGUUUCUGGGUAAACCACUUCUAAACAGUCUAGGCCUUGACCUGUCUCUGUUGGAGCCAUGGUGGGAGUGGGUCCUGUCUGGGACACCAGCAAAGAACUCGCCUUGAGCUACAGUUCUGCCUCCAACUCCCUCAGGUGGCCUGAGCUCCAGGAGGGGUUGGUGCAGGGCGUGUUUGAUCUCAGGAAGGGGAAUGGGCAGGCCCAGAGUCGGAAUCAGCCUGCUAUCUAAGGGUCCACCGCUGAAUUUGUGCUUUUUUUUUUUUUUAAGAAAAUUGAGUUUUUGAAUACAUUUUGAAAACAUUCAGAGUGGCUCUUCAAAGACUUUCUGGUAUUCUGGCCUUAGAAGUGAGAGUCCCGUGUUCAGGACCACUUAUGGCAGGAGAUAACCAGGAAGUCAUUUUAUUAAAAAAAGAAUGAGGGUGUCAAAGGAGUUGUCUAGGGAGGGCCUCGAGGGCUGGGAGAGCCUCAGACGGUCAGGUGCUGUCAGAUCCCAGGGAGGCCACUGCCUGUGGUCAGCCUUGCUGUUCACACAGGGGAUCUUCCAAUCAGAGUGGGUCAGGGGGCUCUGGUAAGAAAGAACUUACCCUGGCAUGACAGACGGCCUGAGAUCCCACUUGUAAACAGAGCUCUUUGCUACCUCACGGUGAAUUAUGGACAGGUAAAUUCCUCCUGAAGCUGGAGUUUUAGAAGUGUCCAUUUUUUUUUUUUUAAACAAGAAGUGGAAACAUCUGAGCUUUUUAGAACAUGCAGCUACAUGUUUCUCAGCAGUUGCCAUUUUGAGUUUUUAAAAAAUGUAAUCGGCCAUUUCGGCCUCCAGGCAGUCUUCAUCGCCCUGCCUAGGACCUCUGCAUUUUCCUCUGAAAUUCCCCACUAGCCACAGAACUUUCUAGGAAAUGCAUAGCCACCAGAUCAAGAAACAGGAAGUGCUUUGGAGCUACCUAAGGAAGCGGAGAUGAUGGAGAAGAGAUGUGGGGAGGGAGGUCCAGAUGAAAACCAGGCAGAACCACAGUGGCCGUGGGCCAUCAACCCUUGAGUUAGAUUGGACGAAGCUGGGGAAGGGUUCUGACAUGCCUUUUAAUUUGAAGAUCUGUGACCUCGGUGGACGUGGCACUUCAUUUGUGUCAUUAGCUCCUGGGUCUGAAAAGGACUUUCAUUUAUCUUCUCAUUUAUUGCUUACUUAUAAGAGCCCUCUAAGUAUGGUUUCUGGCUGUCUGUCUCAUGAGCUGUCUGAGGUAUGAUGUCCACUUCCCCGGAGAAGCCGAUGCCCCCUCUGCUAGUGGCCUGCAGAAAGGGUGGGGGUGUCUGUGGCCCGACAAUGAGCAUCAUGGCCAUUCGGGCCUUUCUACCCUCUUCCAGGUGGGGGACAUUCCCUUGGGGGGUGUGAUAGGGACAGAGUCACUCAGACACUCUGGGAGAGGGAAAAGGCCCCAACACCCUGGAGAAGAAAAUAGCCUUGGAAGUUCUCCCUGAGCUAUUUUAAAGGCGAGGCGAGGCUGAGCCUCAGAAUUCUGUCCUGCCCCUCCCUGCCUCUGGUCUUCUCUCCACCAAACAGACACAAAGUGAGAGUGCACUGUGGCAUAAUCCCCGAGUACAGCAGGCACGUAAAAGCACGUCCCGGUUUCCAGUGCCAGGUGUCCCAUCGGGUUGGUUCUGAAGUCUGGGGAGUCUGUGCCCAGCCCGUUGGGCAGCUUCUGCAACACUGCCCAUGGGGGGUGUGUCGGGAGGUCCUCGACCCUUGGAUGCUGGCAAGGCUAAUUUGUGAGAGAGGCACACUCAAGACCGAAUCCCUCUGGUGGAAUUCAGGGCCACGUGCCUUGUGCCUUUUAAAGAUGGUUUCUGAAGGAUAGUUAAGGCAGCUACAAGCUCUGCUAAGGCUGCUCCCUCCAGGAACAUAAUUAGUGGGUGUAAAACAAAAACACGCUCUGCGCGGGAUUUCAGAGUCCUUAAGUCGAGGGGUGGAGCAGCCAAGAUGGGGAUUGCUUUGUCUACUCCCCCCGUGUGGCCUUCCUGAUGUGGGCGCGAUGACAACGAGCAUGUUUGGCCUCACCAGCGUGCCUGACUUUAAAAUCUGCGUUAGAUUUUCCAGGUUCAGGAAAGUUUGAAUAAAACAAAAGGAGCUUUUCAAGACUGCAGUGGCGACGUCUUGUACCUGGUCUGGGAUGGGAUUCCUGUUAUUUUUUCCUUCCCGGCUGGUGCAUCUGAUGAUGGAAGAUGGCCUGUCCGCGCCUGUCUCACUUGUGUAAAGCGUUAACAGGGGCUCCGGUCGGCAGAGCAGCCAGAUUCAGCAGAGGUCGAGGAGGCCGGCUGUGAGAAGGUUCCAGAUGAAAGGUUCAGCCUCCAUUUUGUGACUGCCUCAAUGAUGGACAAAGACGGUGACAUUUUGGCUCAGUGCCACCAGAGCCCACUUACAGUUUGCUACCCAUAUCACUGGAGCCAGUUCUGACAAAUCAACCUUUACAGUGGUUCAUCCUGAUGGCCUGUCAGGCAUGGCGUGGCCUUUCAUUCCUUAGUAUUCUGGUACUCCUCGAGGUCAGUGUCCUGAAGGGGCCCAUGGAAGCUGAAUUCCACACCACAUCUGGGGCCUGGCCUGUGCAUGAGGACACUAGGCAGGGACAGCUGUUGGGUCUCUGCAGCACUUUAUAUAGGCUGUUUCAACUGCACAGUGCUUUCUGCAGGGACACUGGUGUGGGAAACACAGGGAUUUCCUAUGGCUAAAUGGCAAACAUUGCAAAGAUAUCGCAACCAUCUCUCCUCAAGAAAAAAACAUUUCUUUGCAAUUACCUUGAAUCAAAUAUUGUCUGAAUCAGUGUUUCCCAUGGUGGAGAGGUGAUUUUGCUCUGCAGGGGACAAAUGGUGUGUCUGGAGAUAUUUUUGGUCUCCACUCAGAAGGAGGGGUGCUCCCCACAAUACCAAGACUGCCCUGCUCCCACCCCAACAAAGAAUCAUUGGGGUCUAAUGUCAAUAGGGUUUGGGUUAAGAAACCCCAGUCUAGAUUGCCUUAUAUGGUUGAGCUUUGGCCUAGCUGUUUUUCCCAGUCCAUUGUUUGCUGAUUCCAUUAAAAUAAAGCUUUCUUCUGGGCACACUUUCAUCUGGUUUCUGAGAUAAGGAGAAAAGCACCUUGAGGACAGGCAAAAGCCAGGCUACAGAGUGGAAGGAACUUGUUGAGAUCCAGUUACCAGGGCGCCCUAUGCACAGAUCUGACUUCUUCAGUGCCCAGCCAGGUGGGAAGAGCAAAGCCAGGCCUGCCCAGAAGUGGCCCUGCAGCCUCUUGUGGGAGCACAGGGCUCUUGGUCUGCUGACUGCCUCCAGGUUAGUGGCCCCUUGGUGCCCAUGCCCCCUGCCACUUCUCAUGCUCUCUCUGCCUUUCUGUCCGUGUGUCUCCCCAGGUAAAGAUGAGCCUUCCAGCUACAUUUGCACAACAUGCAAGCAGCCCUUCAACAGCGCGUGGUUCCUGCUGCAGCACGCGCAGAACACGCAUGGCUUCCGGAUCUACCUGGAGCCCGGGCCGGCCAGCAGCUCGCUCACGCCCCGGCUCACCAUCCCGCCGCCGCUGGGGCCCGAGGCUGUGGCACAGUCCCCACUCAUGAAUUUCCUGGGCGACAGCAGCCCCUUCAACCUGCUGCGCAUGACGGGCCCCAUCUUGCGGGACCACCCUG
Molecule: long non-coding RNA, 84148 nt
Filed under: Marmota monax (woodchuck)
Lineage: Eukaryota; Metazoa; Chordata; Mammalia; Rodentia; Sciuridae
Source: RNAcentral